This is a non-coding RNA of Pelobates cultripes (western spadefoot toad), 47247 nucleotides long. The record is from the annotation of a GenBank genome assembly. NCBI's taxonomy places the organism in Eukaryota, Metazoa, Chordata, Amphibia, Anura, Pelobatidae.
GCAAGAGAGCUAUAGAAAAGUGCAGUGAUGUGCAGAACAGGUGAUCGGAGGUUUCACCCGCCUGGCUGUUGCACUAGGACUCGUUGGGGCCACUGGGGAGUGAGCAGUUGGUACUCAGCACAAGUGUUCCUGGGUGCCCCAGCAGACUCCAGAUGUAGGUAUACUUCAGAUCGUUUAGCUUUUGUGAGCUAAGUAUCAGCUAAUAAUCAACAUCAGGCUGGGAGCUCACUCGAUGCACGCCCAGCUACCAUGGAUCUCAGGCAUCGCCCUUUUCUGCACUUUUUUACCCUAACUAUCGUCUACACUUUCUUAUCCUGUAUUCUAAAACGCAUUAACAUUGCUCUAAAUUUUUCUUUACGAGUAUAGAAUAAAAUAGAAAUAUGCAAAUACUAUGUAUUUUAAUUUUUAGUAUUGGUGAAUUACUAAUUAACUAAUACUACGAUAAGCAGGUACAAAGACUAUAUUACACAGUAUAUCUAUUUUUCUCUACAUUCUUUGGGAGAAUUAUUUCUUGGGAUAAUAACUGAAUUUUAAGUUUUAUUUUAAACAAGGACAUCUGUGUAUAUUUUAAGUGACCAGCUACUAUUUAUAACUAUUUUUUCAGGAAGUAGGAAAAUAUUCUGUUUGCGCUGUAGAGAAAACCAGUAUGCAAAGCACAUGAAUUUACGGAUAUGAUUUAUUAAUGAUGUUCUCAUCUUUUGGAGGGUAGUUGUUACACUUAAAAUAAUUUCUUUUAGUAUUUACUUAUCUUUAUACAAACAUAAAGUAUACCAGAAUAUUUUUAUGGUUACAACAUAGUUAACGUAUGUGACUAACCUUGCCAGUCCUAUCAGAAGUUAUUUUUGCUUAUUAUACAAAAUAUGAAGGUUUUGGUUAUAAAGAGUUACAUAUUAGCUGUUUUGGUUUAAAAACAUCUGGAGUGAUCCCACAAGGAUAGAAAAUAGAUAUAUGUUUGUCCUCUGCUCUCUAGAAACCAAAUAUCUCUAAGACAUUAUUCAAGUCAUUAAAGAAUAUUUAGCUUAGUUUAUGAUUAUCCAACCAUCAACCCCCUCACAGCGAAGUUAUUUAAAUAAGAAUAUUUAGUUUAAUUUAUGAUUAUCCAACUAUCAACCCCCUCAAAGCAGAGUUAUUUAACUGAAAUAUAAGGUACUUAGCUAGCACAUAACUAUAGAAAAAAACUAUAUAUUUAGACAACGGUAAUCUUUCUUUUAUUUCUUCAUGAUUUACAAAAAUGUGACAUAAAUGCAGAUUUUGGUUUGUGUUUGAUUUUGUUUGUUUUAUCCCAAUUUGGUAUAUACCGAGAUAUUGUUGUGAAACCUUCUUGUUUCUAAUAGGUUGAAUAUUGGUUUCUGUAUUGUUUUGUUUAUGGCUUACAGAAAUAUUGGGCGGGGGGAUUAACACAUUGCUUAGGUCCCCGGCUCAGACAGGAACACAGUGGGCCUCUCUCUUAGUCUGGAGCUUUGGCUCUGGCUGUGAGGGGGCUCUCCUUGAGUCUGCAGGUUUGAGAAAAAGUUCUUACUGCUCAGCCCUGAGCCCCCUCAAUUUGUGGAGGCAGAGUUGUGGUCUGCACCAAUAUCAGGUGCAGAAACUUUAAGAUCUCCCUUGUGAUCCCCCUGUGUUUCUUGAUGAUUCAGAGCACCACUGCCAGCACUCUGAAUCACUGACAGAGUGCCGACCACGAGAGAGCUCUUAAACUGAUCUACAGCCAAUAUUGGUGCAAACCAAAAGGCUCCCUCCCUAGAUGAUUAGGGAUUUAUCUCACUCUCCACUGGGCCACCAGGGAUCCAGCUCAUGCUCCAUUUGACCACAAGGGAUAAUACCCCAAAAGGCAAGCAGGAGGAGUGAGAAAACUCACAUACAGAACUCAGCCACAUUCAGAAUCCCCUACACACACAAAAUUCAGCCAUUAGAUACACAACACUCAGUCAGUAUACAAAAGCACUCAGUCACUCCCAUACAGCUCUCAGCUUAACACACACUAACUACACACACAUCACUGUUUGUCGCACACAUAUACAACACUUACCCACCCCACACAUAACACUAACAGAAACAAUAGGGAGCCCACAGCUGGCAUCCUGCCUAUGGCACUGGCCAAUGUUAAUUGUGUUCUGAUUUAGAGAAUAUAUGGUAUCCCUUACGAUGUACAAUGGGUGGACUAACAAACACAUAAUUGUGGCCAGACAAGUUGGGCGCACAGUAACAGAAUGGUUGAGGCCCUGCUUAGUGAGCUUACAUGCUAGAGGGAAUGAGGUAGAGUGAUACAAGGUAAGGGUAGGAGUAGAAAAGUAGGUUAGUAGAAUAGGGAUAAAAAACUCUUUCUAUGAAGGAUCCCGCAAUCUUGCAGGAUCCUCCAUAGACCUCAAUGAUGUACUCUUGCACUUGCUUAAGAGUACAGAGCUGAUCUUAGCUCAUGGCAGCUGAAACACCAGGAGCGGUAUAGAUUCCACUGCCCUCCUUGGCCACCGAAACCUCUGCAUCGAUGUCACAGUCGAUGUCACAUUUCGGGCAAUUCGGACAUUCUGGUACUUCCGAAUGUCCGAAUAGAUGAAUUGCCGAAUUGCCGAAGUCCUAAAGUUCUGAAAUUACAGAAUUUCCGAAGUGCUGAAGUGCCGAAGUUCCCAAGUGCUGAAGUGCCGAAGUUGCGGAAGUUCCGAAGUACAGUAUUGCCUAAGAACUAAUAUACUUACCCAGUGGAAGAAUGAAGAAUGUUACACUGUAUACAAUUUUAAAUAAAAAGUAUACAAACAUAGCCAGGAUUCAGCUGUAAGCAUUUGCAACACUUACAACAAUCAAGUAACAUACAUUCAUAUCAAAUGUAAGUUACUUAGCCAGUCAAUGUAAUGACAGGAAAGAAUAAGUAGAUAACUCCCUAAUUCCCACGGUAUUAGGGAGCUAUCUACUAAAAGGCUGAAAGACCUAAAUUGGUCUUUCAGCCAAAUUUACUAAUACUAAGUAAAGAUUACUUAGUAUUAGUAAAUUAUGCUCCUAAUCGCUAUACCGCGAGUAGGGGCAUGUUUAGUAAACAUUGAGCAGCCUUUGGCUGCUCACUUUAAAAAAAAAAAAAAAAAAGUGCCCCACCCAUGCUGCGUGAGUGGGGGCUUCUAACCUGAAGGGUUGCCCCCCUGGCCCCACCCCUGAACGGCGGGUGGGGGCCCUACAGUAAAAUAAGGGGGGGACGUAUUGUCCUCCCCCUCAGCCCCCACCCCUGAGCGGCGGGUGGGGGGCCUAAAUUAGAAUAAGGGGACCUAAUGUCCUCCCCCCCGGCCCUCACCCCUGAACGGCGGGUGGGGGACCAAAAUUAGAAUAUUAGAAUAAGGGAGGGGGACCUAAAUUAGAAUAUUAGAAUAAGGGAGGGGGACCUCACCCCUGGCCCCCAGGGGCGCCCUAAAGAAAAAUGAUGGGGUGGGGACCUAUUGUCCUCCCCCCCCAGGACCCACCCCUGAGCUUCGGGUGGGGAGACUAAAUUAGAAUAAGGGGGGGGACCUAAUGUCCUCCUCCCAGCCCCCACCCCUGAGCGGCGGGUGGGGGCCCUAAAUUAGAAUAAGGGGGGAACCUAAUGUUUUCCCCCCUGGCCCCCACCCCUGAGCGGUGGGUGGGGGCCCUAAAUACCCAAAAUAAAUAAAUGUGUAUAAAAAGAUUUAUGGCACAGAUAAAAAGUAACCAAAUAAACUUUUAAUAUAUAAAAAUACACAAAAUAAUAUCCAUAAACGCGUUUCGCCAGCACGGCAUUAUCAAUAUGGAGCUACUUUUAUUUGGUUACUUUUUAUCUGUGCCAUAUAUCUUUUUAUACACAUUUAUUUAUUUUGCGACCUGGCAUCUUCUCUACAUCUUGGACUCCAAGCAAUCCUAGGUGGGGAUCAUACCACCAGCGCUUACGUUUAGAAGCAGUUGUCCUGCUCCCGUCUUGUGAGUACCCAUUUUAUGUUAUUUUAUUUUACAUCAACACUCAGUGUACACUAUUGGCUGUCUCUUUUUAUCCGAGUAUUGGGAACUUCGGCACUUCAGCUGACGGAGGAAGCUCACCAUAUAUCCUGCAAGCGGGGAUCAAACUGCUGUACGCCUUUCAUACCGGAGCGAGUCUUACGCUCUGGCAAAUGUGAGUUUUAUUUCAACUUUUUAUUAUUCUUAAUCUUUCAGUUUUAAGCAUAUUGCACUAUUCGGGGCUCUAUUUUUUUUUUUUUUUUUUAUAUAUACCUACCGACUUACACCGAGGAUUAUUUCAAGCACUAUCGUUCUGGAUCAAGCCCAAAUAGACGAUUACAGCAAGACCAUUUUAGGUAAGACUUUUUUUACAUUUCCCUGGACUAUUUGUUAUUUAAAGUUUUCUCUGGCGCAGCCCUUACCCUUUUUUUUUUUCUCUUUCCGGUUCUAUUCCUAAGGGUUCUUUGAGGGAUUCCCUUAUAGGGUUGCUGCAAAUAUAUUAGUUAGCGCUUACUCAUUGUUCUAUCUUGUUUUUAAGUCUCUACAUUUACCUGUCACAGCACUUUGAUUGGUUAGCUUGAAAUCCACCAAUCAGAGUGCUCUGUGUCCUUUUACACAGAGUUGGAAAGUUCUUUGGAAUUUUUCCACGCGGUGUAAUUUGACUCAUGACACUCUGAUUGGUGGAUUAAGUAACCAAUCAGUGUGCUCUGAGCCUAAUUGCACGGUGGGGCAAGCCUUUAUAAGACUUCCCCCUGCCCUGCAGAGCUCAGUCUGCGCGGAGCCCUCCAUGGGUGAAGGAGGAUUAUUAUUUUUUAUUUUUUUAAGUGCGUCGGUUAGUAUGAAUUUUUUAUUUGGCCUUUUUUGGGGCUGAAAAAAGCAGAUUUUAGAAGAAAGAAACCAUCAAAUGGUAAGUUUUUUUUUUUUUUUUUUUUUACAGGUACUUAGUUAAUGGUCCCCCCUCAUUACUUUUAGGGUGAGGGGGGUAGGUAGGGGUUAGUUUUUUUUGGGAGGGGGUUGACUAGGGGUUUGGGGACCCCUAGUCACCUGGGGCUAAAAAAUUUAUUUAGGGCCCCCACCUGCCGCUCAGGAGUGGGGGCCAGGGGGAAGGACAAUAGGUCCCCCCUUAUUGGUAUUUAGGGCCCCCACCCACUGCUUAGGGGUGGGGCCCAGGGGGAGGACAUUAGGUCCCCCUCUUAUUAGUAUUUAGGGCCCCACCCACCGCUCAGGGGUGGGGGCUGGGGGGGAGGACAAUAGGUCCCCACCCCAUCAUUUUUCUUUAGGGCCCCCACCCGCAGCUCAGGGGUGAGGGCCAGGGGGGAGGACAUUAGGUCCCCCCCUUAUUCUAAUUUAGGGCCCCUGCCCACUGCUCAGGGGUGGGGGCCAGGGGGAGGACAUUAGGUCCCCUCAAUUGGUAUUUAGGGUCCCCACCCACCACUCAGGACAAGCAUAUGCAUUGGUAUAUUGACAUAUUGACAUUAGGUACCCCCUUAUUAUAAUUCAGGGCCCCCACCCACUGCUCAGGGGUGGGCACCAGGGGGAGGACAUUAGGUCCCCCCCUUAUUAUAAUUUAGGGCCCCCACUCACCGCUCAGGGGUGGGGGCCAGAGGGGAGGACAAUAGAUACCCCCCUAUUCUGAUUUAGGGCCCCCACCCGCAGGCUGCUCACUGUUUAAUAGACAUACCCCUACUCGCGGUGUAGCGAGUAGGGGCAAAAUUUAAUAAUACUAAGUAAUUUUUACUUAGUAUUAGUAAAUGUGGCUGAACGACCAAUUUAGGGAGUUAUCUACUAAGCUGCUGCAAGAGAAGUCCCGAAAUGCCGAAGUUCCGCAAUUUCGAAGGUCUGAAGUGCCGAAGGUGCCGAAGUUCUGAAGUGUUGAAGUCCCGAAGUUCCAAAGUGUUGAAAUGCCAUACCAAACUGAAGUGCCGAAGUCCCGAAUUUCGGAAUGCCGAACUGAACCAAAAAACUAGCAAGUUGAAUGUGCAAAGUAUUUUCCUUGUUCAACAGUAGACAAUGAAUAGACAUGUGCACCAGUGAAAUUUUUAUUUCGUUCGAAUGAUUUCGUGCUAAAUAAAAAUAAAAUGUGGCAAUCGCGAAUUUUGUCCACAAACCAAUUCGUUAAAAAAUAAUUUGUUUUCGUCCAUUAGAACGAGAACAGUAUUGCGCAUUUGCGAAAAAAAAAAUGCAAGGAGGGAACCGGCAGCGCUACCAGCUCCAUCGUUGUAAUACUCCGCCCCUGCAUUAAAACCUAUGGGUGUCACUAUGAACCCAUAUUAAUAAAAUGGAGGUUAAAUCGCCUAAACAAAUUUAAAACUACUAGUUACUGGGCAGCUAUUGCAAUAAUGAGGGAACUUGCACAGGUGAAAUCCUCCCAAAUGCCCCUACUCGCGGCAUGCCGCAAGUAGUUGCAUGUCGCCUAAACAAAUUUAAAACUAUUAAAGACUGGGCAGCUACACUAGUACAAUAGGUGGGGACCUGACACAGGUUAAAUCCUCCGUGUAGUAGGUUCCCCCGUGUAGUAGGGGCAGUGGCUGCCAGCUGUCAUUUAAAACUGGAUAUAAAAAUCAGUAUCUUACAUAGAAGUGAUAUGUGUAACCAAGAGUUAUAGCAAAAACUAUAACAAUGUUGCAAUAUGAAAAAGUAGCUAUUUUGAUCUAAAUUGCUACUUUUCACACGUACUCUUACAGUAGUGUGAACACUUGUAAAUAGGAUACGUUUAUAUCCAGUUUUUUAAUUCUUGGUUUUUAUCUUGCGGUGCAAAAAAUUACAAACUGGCUUGACCGCAUGGACAAGCAUUUGCAUUGGUAUAUUGACAUAUUGACAAAUAUUUGCCUUAUGUUAUGCUACAAUUAAAAAGGAAAAAGUUAAGCACAUAUUAAGAUUCACUUCUAACAAUAAAAGCAUGGAUCAUAUGCAUGUUAUGCCUAGUGUAUUGUAAAGGCAAGUACGGUCAGCUGAACUGGAAACUUAUAAUCUAGAUCGAAGGCCUCCAAAUUCGCUAAGGUGAAUGAUCGCCCUAAAAGGCCUAAAAGCCUGGUGCUCUAAAAUGUAGGGUUGGGUCAUUAACAUGUGAAUGCUUGUGGAGACAUUUCUCGAGGUGCGUUUGCAUUAUUACCUACAUCCUAGCUUAAAUUAAAGCAACAGAGUAUAUCAUUGAAAUAAUUAAGAAAGUAAAAAAGACACAAUAAACAGCAUAUUAAAAGCACGCUGUCUUGAGCAUAAUAAGGAGUGUUACCUCCAUUAGAUAUGUCUUUUUUGAAGAGUCUCUCAUUGAGAGGCCCAUCUUUGCCUCAGUGCGAACCGUCUUCUCAUCCCUACUCCCCUUAUAUAAUACCUUUAUCUGCAUAUGGCGAGUAUAACGUAUAUAAUAAGUGAAAAACAAAAAAGCAGGAAAAGGAAAGCAAAUAAGAAAAAGAAGGGAUGUCACUUGGGAGUGAAUUUUGCUGCUCCCUGUUGUCCUCUCUGGAUUCUAUGUGCCCAAUCCGCUGCUGCAGCCCACUUACUUGUCAUUGUUCCACGGCUAGGUCUGCUUUCCAGACCUCUCUUAAGUCCAAGAGGAGUUUUUUAAUAUCUCCCUUGGUAGAGGGGGAAGCGUCUGGGUCUGAGGUAUUCCUCUGGUACACAACCCCAUUUACCUGUGUUGUUGCUUGAGAAUAACUGCUGUUCCGGCGCUAUUCGCUUGAGAAUUGCUACUGUUCCGGUGCCAUUUUAGCUCUGGCCUGUGUCAGUGGCCCCACAAAGGACCGUCAGGGAGGUUGGUGCAAACUGCAUGGGUUAGCUUCUUAUGUUUAUGACCCAUCUCGCUGUGGGGAGUGUCAGGGUAUCUUAAGUGCUUGGAUUCCCGAUAUAUUCGUGUUUUUUUUAGGGUUUGUUUUAGCUUGUGGAGCCGGAGCUCUGCACACACGUCUGCUAGGUUAGACCAGUAGCCACAUCUCCCCAUUUAUAUCCAGUUUUAAAUGACGGCGAGCAGCCAGUGGCUAUUGCUGCCCAGGUGCUGGUGCAAUAAGGUAGGGGUUAUUAAUAUAAAUGGGGGGACCUAUUGUCCCCCCUGGUCCCCACCCAUGAGCAGCAGGUGGAGACCAUAAAUAAAUAAUGUGGGGGAAUUAAUGUCCCCACCCAGGACUGGCAGGUGGAGACAACAAAUAAUAAAGUAACAAGGGCUCCCUAAGCCCCUAGUCACUCCCCCCCAAUAAAAAUACCCUACCUACCCCCUCACCCUAAUAAUAAACUAACCCUGAUAAUAAACUAACCCUGUGAAAUCAAAUUUCAUACUUACCAUUAGAUGUCUUCUUUCUUCUUUUCUUUUCUUUCUUCAGCCCCAAAAAAGGCCAUAUAAAAAUCCAUAAUACCCGUCGCAACUGUUAAAAUAUUAAAUGAAAAACCAAACGCCAAAAAAAAAAAUGCCAAAAAAAAAAGAAAAAGCCUGACGGUAAAAAGAGAAUCCUUCUUCACCUGUGGAGGGCACAGUGAAGAAUGAGCUCUGCAGGGUGGGGAAAGGCUUAUAAAAUCUUCCCAAGCCCUGCAAUUAGGCUCAGAGCGCUCUGAUUGGUUGAUUAAAACCAACCAAUCAGAGUGCUCUAAGAGGUAAAUGAAGAGACUGACAGGUAGUCUCUUGAAAUCCAACCAAUCAGAGUGCUCUGUGUCAUUUUACACAGCGUGGGAAAGUUCUUUGGAAUUUCCCAUGUUAUGUAAUUUGACUCAUAACACUGUGAUUGGUUGCUUUCAAAAAACAAACCAACCAAUCAGUGUUAUGAGUCAAAUUACACAGCAUGGGAAAAUUCCAAAUAACUUUCCCACGCUGUGUAAAAUGACACAGAGCACUCUGAUAAUAACGUCAUGGCUUGCCAAAGCGUUCAAAUUUGAAUGUUUUGGGGGUAUGACUACAGAGCAAGGAACAUAGUAAUUAAGGGAAGCUCAAGGAAAAACUCAUUGCCCUGUUGUGGGUCUUCUACAAGUCAAUUGUUGCAUAAUACAGUUUAAGAAACAGCACACACAUAAAAAUACAGCUUUACAUUUUAUAAGACUGCUUAUAAAUCCCCUAUCUCAGCAAACAAAUAUGGGGAUUCAAUUCCUCCGUACGACCAUAUUGUAUUAAGCCCACCACUACAUCACAGUACCACAAUAUUGGUGGGUCCUACACUAACUUCAAUGUGGGAGACAAAUACGGCAGCACCAUUCCUGUAAAAUGCAUGGUCCAGGUGUGUGGCCAAUUUUGGUGAAUAGACAAUUUCUUGUACUCUAACAGAAGUAAGCUGUUCUUUUGUUUUAACCCAGCUUUAACUAAGGCAAGUUGUGAAAGUCAAUUAGUAUGUUUACAUAGAUUGAAAAGAUUUCUGGAAUGCUAUCUCAUGCAUCUACAACUAUUUUUGUAAAAUAAAUAAGUAAUAUAUAUCGUUUAUAAAUUCCAGUGGAAUGGGUUAACCUCCUAAGAGCAGUGAUUAGUUUAGGAUAGAAUAUGACUUGUCUAAACUGGGAUACUUUGGUGGUUUGGCAGACUUAUCCAAUGUAUGACAACAUUCUAUAAGUAAAACCAGAUUUGUUGUUAGUUUGAGAUGUGCACUCUAUUUUUAAUGAAUCACUUGGCUCCAAAAGAAACUUCAUGAUGUAUGCAUGUUUGGAUUAGUGCCUGUUUUUGUGAUCUGUUAUUAUAUAUUUAAGUUGAGGGUAAUUGUACUUUGAUAGGGGCAUCACUAUAUAUAUAUAUAUAUAUAUAUAUAUACAUACAUACAUACACACAUUGCCUGGGCCAAAAGAAAGUCGCCACCUGCAUUUAACUAAGAAAAUAGGUAAGAGCCUCCUAUUGGAUAGUUACUGCAUGCACUGGCGUAUAUAUAGGGGUCGCAUGGGUCGCAGCUGCGCCUGGGACCAUCACUCCAGGGGGCUUGGUCGCCCUGCGGACUCCUGCGACCGGGUACCAGCCGACAUGUUUUGCGUCAAACCACUGGGGCCGCCGUUCAAGGGGCCCAUCGGGUGGCCCAUGCUUUUAGGGCCACCCAAUGGAGAUGGAUUUUCAGGGGGCCUGGUCAGGGCUGGGCAGUACUGUACUGCUGGGAGGAAGUGACUACCCCGGUCACUCCUCCCAGCAAUCACACAGAGCACGCAUGGGAAGAAGGACAGGGAGUCAGAGUGGGAACUCUGACUCCCACCAGCCUGAGCCACCACUGAACCCCAGGAGAAGUCACCCUCCUGCACCUAAAAGGUAGGAAACAGGAGGGUGAUUAAAAUAUUUUGUAUAUGUGUGUGUUUGUAUGUAUGUGUGUCUGUGUGUGUCUGUCUGUAUGUGUGUAUGUGUCUGUGUGUAUGUGUGUCUCUCUGUAUGUUUGUAUGUUUGUAUGUGUGUCUUGUGUGUCUGUGUGUAUGUCUGUCUGUAUGUAUGUGCCUGUGUGUAUGUAUGUCUGUGUCUUUGUAUAUGUGUGUAUCUGUCUGUGUGUGUGUGUGUAUGUAUGUAUGUAUGUGUGUAUGUGUGUGUCUGUGUGUGUGUGUCUCUAUGUAUGUAACUCUGUAUGUAUGUGUGUCUUUAUGUAUGUGUGUGUGUGUGUCUGUUGGGAGGGGGGCCCCAUGGAUUGUGUGUACGCCACUGACUGCAUGGGCGAUUAUCUUUCAGCUGGCAACAAGUUAUUUAACCCUAACUGAUGCAAUUAAUAGCUUCACAUUUCUUUAACAACCAUGUUGAAAGACACAUCCUGUGGUCAUGGAAAAGAUGUUAGUCUGUUUGAGAAAGGUCAAAUCAUUGGCAUGCAUCAAGCAGAGAAAACAUCUAAGGAGAUUGCAGAAACUACUAAAAUUGGGUUAAAAAUAUCUCUGAAACCCAGUAAAAACAACAGUGGUAAAGGUAUGAGUUACCCAAUAAUAUGCAGAAAUAUAAAGAAGAUUCCUCAAAGACUUCUCAAACCAUAAAAUACAUCAUAAAUAAUCUGCAAUACAAAAAACUACAAUAGUGAAGUAAGUGGGGACACCAAGAAAAGUGGAACCAUAAGUUGCACUCACAAAGGUCGAUGAUAAAUAGGCAUCGUGUGUAUUAUCAAUUAAUAUUUAUAAAUAUCAAUAAAUAACAUUGUAACGGACCGUUUUGCACAAAAGGGGAAAAAACCGCUUAGACGAUAAUCCCCUUUCAGAGACAGGCACAGCUACUGUAGAAUCACCAAAACUCAUGAACUGAAUACAAGUGAAUGCUCCAAACUCCCGAACGGCAUACAAGGGAAUGCUCCAAACACUCGAACUGCAUACAAGGGAAUGGUCCAAACACUCGAACUGCAUACAAGUGAAUGCUCCAAACUCCCGAACGGCAUACAAGGGAAUAAGGUAGCACUUCAAAUAAACGAACAGGAACCAUACGAAUAGCUGCUAGCAGGCGAACAGGAAAAGCUUCCAAGCGGCUUACACUCCUGGCAAUCAGUCCUUAGCAGCAUACAGUAAAUCCCCCCAAAGACGAGACAAGGCUCCGUGUUGAGGGUCAAGCAGUGGUCUGUUUAAUGAGGGCUACCUGCCCAGCUUUUAUGCAGGUCUCCCACCUGGUGGACACUCCCCUAGGGGACCAAAUGGGAGACUGUGACAAGGGACAGACAAGUAUACAAAAAGGACACACAGUCACAGUAUAUUCCCACAAUGCAUCCUGGCUUCCUCCCCUCUGCCCUGGGAGAUAAUUGGGAAGUAACUCAAUUAUCUCCCAAGUCAAAGGCAAAACUCCAUUACACACGUGGGAACACAAAACCAGCAUUAUACUUUAAAAUGCACAAAGUAACAUUUACUACAUAAAACACAGACAUGUAACAUAUCCCCAGAUAGCUCAGGUCUGAGUGCACAUUAUUAGGUGAAUGGCACUCAGACCACACGAAUACAGUUUUAAUUGCCAUGGAGCCAAAGUCUUUAAUUCCACGAAUAGGCUCCAUGGCAUAGCUAUCUGGGUUAAAACAUUCCUCCAACAUAAAAUACCGAAUUUACAUGCAUUCGUUCAAUCCGUGCGAAUUAGAACCAGGGGUUGGAGGUUCAGCGGUGCCUGCACGUAAAAGUGUCCGGGUUUGGUGCAUGAAAGCCGGGCAGACAAGCGCUGGCUGCCCGGGGAGCUCCAGAACACCGCCAUCGUGUUAACCGCGGCUUCAGGGAGGUAAAUGGAGGGCGCACUCCAGCUUCUGGGUGGCCAAUUAAGGUCGCCGGCCGGCUUCCCACGGCUCUGGGGAGGCUGAAAAGAGACUGUUUGUUUGGUAGAUGGAAUCUACCGAACGGCUGUGCAGAAAGGGAGAAAUAAAUCCUUCUGCACAGUAAAAUUAACCCUUUAGCUGCCGGUCCAUAAUCCAAAGGCAGCAGGCGGGCAACCAGGCUCCUCCAAUGCAAUGUGGCGAGAUUGGUUUCGUCACAUCUCUCCCCUUUUCCAAACAGACUAACAGGGUAUCUGACCUCCUGCCGGUCAGUGCCCUUGUUAGUCCAGCAGCCCACCCACAAAACAUAAUCAACAGCACAGCCCACCCACAAUAAAUGGUUACUACACCUGGGUAGAGAAGAAGCUUGUCCAUGUCCAGGUGCCUCACCACGGCUGUGCUGGGUACGGGUACGCUGACUUGGUGGGUUGCUGCGUGGGCAGAGACCAGCGGCACUCUGCCCUGUUGCCAGCGCUACUGGGAGGGUAGCCUGGUGGAAGCCUGGUUGUUGGAGGGGGAGACCGACUGUCUCCCCUUUAAAUACACCGCUCUGCUGCUGCUGCUGGAGACUGACUGUCUCCCCUUUAGAUGCACAGUCCUGCUGCUGGAGACCGACCGUCUCCCCUUUAGCUGCACAGUCCUGCUGCUGGAGACCGACCGUCUCCCCUUUGGUUACCCAUCUCUGCUGCUGGAGGGGGAGACCGACUGUCUCCCCUUUGGCUAAACAGCCCUGUCGCUGGGGGGCAGGACCGACCGUCCCUACCCCCUGUGCUGGCAGUGUAGAGACUACGGUCCCAUCUGCACGGUUGUGGGGCUUACUGUCUCCCCUUUGUACAUUAAGCUGCCGCUGGGGAGAGGGGGUAACAAGCUCCUCUCCCAUACAUACUUCCAGCUGUGGGGGAGGGAGACCGACUGUCUCUGCUCCCAAUACAGAGUCCUGCUGCUGGGGAAAGGAGACUGGGCUCUCUAUUCCCGGUAGGACACUCUGCCGCUGGGGAAUGGAGACUGGGCUCCCAAUUCCCAAUGAUCUGUGCUGCCGCUGGGGAAUGGAGACUGGGCUCCCAAUUCCCAAAGCAUCAUACUGCCGCUGGGGAAUGGAGACUGGGCUCCCAAUUCCCAAAGCAUCAUUCUGCCGCUGGGGAAUGGAGACUGGGCUCCCAAUUCCCAAAAAAUCACGCUGCCGCUGGGGAGGGAGGACACUGCUCUCCUCUCCCUGGACUUCCCACUGCCUUCCCGGCAUAUCACUUGGCUGCUGGGGGGCAGGAACAACUACCUCUGCCCCCUGUAUCUCAGCCUGCCGCUGGGGAGGGAGGACGCUGUUCUCCUCUCCCUGCACUUUACACUGCCUUCCCGGCAUAUCACUCUGCUGCUGGGGGCAGGAACAACUACCUCUGCCCCCUGUAACUCAGCCUGCCGCUGGGGAAUGGAGCUCAGGCUCCCAAUUCCCUGCAAUAUCUCCCGCUGGGGAAUGGAGCUCGGGCUCCCAAUUCCCUGCAAUUUCUCCCGCUGGGGAAUGGAGCUCGGGCUCCCAAUUCCCUGCAAUUCAUUCUGCUGCUGGGGGACAGGAGCGACUAUCUCUGUCCCCUGUAACUCAGCCUGCCGCUGGGGAAUGGAGCUCAGGCUCCCAAUUCCCUGCAAUAUCUCCCGCUGGGGAAUGGAGACUGGGCUCCCAAUUCCCAAUAAAUCACACGGCCGCUGGGGAAUGGAGACUGGGCUCCCAAUUCCCUGCAGGACCGGUGGAGAGACCUCGGUCCCAUCUCUACCGGCCACCUGGGGUUCUUCCCAGAAAAUAUCCACAAUGUCUUCCCAGCUGAAUGGGUCUGGUUCUGGCUCUGUCACCUUGCUGUCCUGCUGAAUCUUCUCAAUGGAGUGGAAGAGAUCUCGGUAGUCCUGCUCCAGUUCCCACUCCAGGGUUGCUAGGUGAGCCAGGUCUUGCUCAAUGUCGUGAGUGUCGUCCCAGUCAUACCUGCUCUCCCUCCACUCCAAGAGAUCACUGAACCGGGCUUGUGUAGGGCUCCCAAAUUCAGGCUCUGAAAAAGCCUCCCAUAACAAGCCAGGACCAUCAAACUCCUCUCCCUCUGGCUUGUCAUGCUCGGCUGUCCAGGGCAGGUACUGUGCCCCAUACCACCAAAGCGCCUGGUAUGCAUCUUCCAGCCAAAUCUCCUGCCAUACCCGGUGCUCCAAUUCCUUCACCCAUUCAUCUAGGGGCUGCUCUCCCAGGAAGGGCAUCCGCAGGGCCACUUGCUUCUGCAACCGCUGCUCUUCACUGGGGAGACUCUCACCCCGCUGGUACUGUACAUUAUCCAGAGCCUGGUACCAGAUGCCUUUCCUUAAUGCAUCCCGGCCAUCCAGGUCCUCCUCCUCGUAUGACACUGCUGGUUCCAUGCUGUUGCUGUCAGGGUCGCUGUACUCAGACAUGCGUUGCCCUCAAAUUGUAAAUCCAAAGAAAUGGUGUCUCCUGUAGCUGUCCUGUAGUCCGUGGGAACGAUCCCGCCGCUUGCCACCAAUUGUAACGGACCGUUUUGCACAAAAGGGGAAAAAACCGCUUAGACGAUAAUCCCCUUUCAGAGACAGGCACAGCUACUGUAGAAUCACCAAAACUCAUGAACUGAAUACAAGUGAAUGCUCCAAACUCCCGAACGGCAUACAAGGGAAUGCUCCAAACACUCGAACUGCAUACAAGGGAAUGGUCCAAACACUCGAACUGCAUACAAGUGAAUGCUCCAAACUCCCGAACGGCAUACAAGGGAAUAAGGUAGCACUUCAAAUAAACGAACAGGAACCAUACGAAUAGCUGCUAGCAGGCGAACAGGAAAAGCUUCCAAGCGGCUUACACUCCUGGCAAUCAGUCCUUAGCAGCAUACAGUAAAUCCCCCCAAAGACGAGACAAGGCUCCGUGUUGAGGGUCAAGCAGUGGUCUGUUUAAUGAGGGCUACCUGCCCAGCUUUUAUGCAGGUCUCCCACCUGGUGGACACUCCCCUAGGGGACCAAAUGGGAGACUGUGACAAGGGACAGACAAGUAUACAAAAAGGACACACAGUCACAGUAUAUUCCCACAAUGCAUCCUGGCUUCCUCCCCUCUGCCCUGGGAGAUAAUUGGGAAGUAACUCAAUUAUCUCCCAAGUCAAAGGCAAAACUCCAUUACACACGUGGGAACACAAAACCAGCAUUAUACUUUAAAAUGCACAAAGUAACAUUUACUACAUAAAACACAGACAUGUAACAUAUCCCCAGAUAGCUCAGGUCUGAGUGCACAUUAUUAGGUGAAUGGCACUCAGACCACACGAAUACAGUUUUAAUUGCCAUGGAGCCAAAGUCUUUAAUUCCACGAAUAGGCUCCAUGGCAUAGCUAUCUGGGUUAAAACAUUCCUCCAACAUAAAAUACCGAAUUUACAUGCAUUCGUUCAAUCCGUGCGAAUUAGAACCAGGGGUUGGAGGUUCAGCGGUGCCUGCACGUAAAAGUGUCCGGGUUUGGUGCAUGAAAGCCGGGCAGACAAGCGCUGGCUGCCCGGGGAGCUCCAGAACACCGCCAUCGUGUGGCGGCUAAGUGUAACCGCGACCACCCAGUAACAAUCAAUUAAGCUGCGGUUAACCGCAGCUACUGGGUGGUCAAUUGCCGGCACACGCUCGUUAAGCCGCGGUUAACCGCGGCUUCAGGGAGGUAAAUGGAGGGCGCACUCCAGCUUCUGGGUGGCCAAUUAAGGUCGCCGGCCGGCUUCCCACGGCUCUGGGGAGGCUGAAAAGAGACUGUUUGUUUGGUAGAUGGAAUCUACCGAACGGCUGUGCAGAAAGGGAGAAAUAAAUCCUUCUGCACAGUAAAAUUAACCCUUUAGCUGCCGGUCCAUAAUCCAAAGGCAGCAGGCGGGCAACCAGGCUCCUCCAAUGCAAUGUGGCGAGAUUGGUUUCGUCACAAACAUAAUUCAGAAAUAUGUGGACUUUGCUUUUUUAUGAUGUUUUGCUUAUUUUUCAUCUACCUUUGUGAGUGCAACGUAUGGUUCCAAUUUACUUGGUGUCCCCACUUACUUUGCUAUAGUGGUUUUUAUAUUUUAGAUUGCAGAUUAUUUAUGAUGUAUAUUAUAAAAUUGGGUUAAGCACUGUCCAACGCAUAAUUAAAAACUGGAAGGAUAGUGGGGAACUGAUAGUGAGGAAUUUUCUCUGUCAGGAAUUUCCCCUUGCCAUGGUCUUUUGUAUCAGGCAAGGGGAUGUGGUCGAGGAAGAAAUGUAGUCAGAAAAAAAUCCUGAUUGAUCGGUGAUCACUUAAACGUUUGGUGAAAUCAAAUCGUAGAAAAACAUGAGAACUCAGGGCUAUGUUUAAUAGUGAAAGUAAGAGCAUUUCCACAUGCACAAUGUGAAGGGAACUCAAGGGAUUGGGACUGAACAGCUGUGUAGCCUUAAGAAAACCACUAAUCAGUGAGGCUAAUCGGAACAAAAAGGCUUCAGUUUGCUAGGGAGCAUAAAGAUUGGACAUGGGAGUAAUGGAAGAAGGUUGUGUGGUCUGAGGAGUCCAGACUUACCCUGUUACAGAGUGAUGGGUGCAUCAGGGUAAGAAGUGAGGCAGAUGAAGUGAUGCACCCAUCAUGCCUAGUGCCUACUGUACAAGCCUGUGGGGGCAGUGCUAUGAUCUGGGGUUGCUGCAGUUGGUCAGGUCUAGGUUCAGCAACAUUAUGUGCCCAAAGAAUGAGGUUAGCUGACUAACUGAAUAUACUGAAUGACCAGGUUAUUCCUUCAAUGGAUUUUUCCUUCCCUGAUGGCACGGGCAUAUUCUAAGAUGACAAUGCCAGGAUUCAUUGGGCUCAAAUUGUGAAAGAGUGGUUCACAGAGCAUGAGACAUAAUUUUCACACAUGGAUUGGCCACCACAGAGUCCAGACCUUAACCCUAUUGAGAAUCUUUGGGAUGUGCAGGAGAAGGCUUUGUGCAGUGGUCCGACUCUCCCAUCAUCAAUACAAGAUCUUGGUGAAAAAUUAAUGCAACACUGGACGGGAAUAAAUCUUGUGACAUUGCAGGAGCUUACGAAACAAUGUCACAGCGAAUGUGUACCGUAAUCAAAGCUAAAGGCAGUCCAACGAAAUAUUACUGUGUGUGACCAGGCAGUGUGUGUGUGUGUGUGUAUAUAUAUAUAUAUAUAUUUAGUUUGUGCCUUUGAGUCCUCAAGCACAUUGGACACAUUCUUCAACUGCCUGAUUAUUCAAUUUUUAUUUUAUGAAAAAUAUUGUGCAGCAGCAAACAAAAAAAACAUUUGUGACUUUUAGCAUGAAAUCUGCCACAAUAUUCCAGACAAGUCUUUACAAGUAAGGUUAAUACAAAAAAUCCUGAAAACAAAAAUAUAAUCCACAAUACAAUGUUAUUCAACCAUUUCAUCUAAAUGAACCUUUAUCCACGGAACACAGAAAAUAAAUGGUUAUCCAGCCCAUAAUUAUGUUCCUGAGAGCUAAGUAAGUCAAAUAAAACAAUUUACCUGAUCGACCGCACCUUAUUGCUGUUAAGCCAUAUGAUUAGCAGGUUCUCUGCAUUACCUUUUAAGCCUCUGUUGACUGGAUUACUUCUGCCUAGUAAUACACAUGAACACUGCAAAUCCGUGGACACAAAACAGUAAAUAAAACCUGUCACCUCUCUUUGGCACCUUAACAAGUUGUGAUCAAAACAAAACGUAAACAAAACCUGGAAUUUGCGCUAUAUGUCUGUCCAACCGUAAUUCACAUCUUUCAACCAGGGUUGGAUCAGCGGUGUACCCACACUUAUUAUUAAACAUAAUUUAAUAUGAAUAAAAUGUUUUAAAAAAAUGGGAGAAAAUAAGAUUUAAAAAAAAAAAACGUUUUAGUUCUAUGUGACGUUUUAAAUGUCAUAAUACUGAUUGCUUUUACUGCAAUAAAAUACUCAUAUUUGUAUUCAGCGAUGUCUUGCGUGUAAAACAGUACCCCCUAUGUACAGGUUUUAUGGUGUUUUUGGAAAUUACAGGGUCAAUUGUAGUAUGUUGCAUUUUUCAGUUUUUUCACAUUGAAAUUCGCCAGAUUGGUUACGUUGCCUUUGAGACCGUAUCGUAGCCCAGGAAUGAGAAUUACCCCCUUGAUGGCAUACCAUUUGCAAUAGUAGACAACCCAAGGUAUUGCAAAUGGGGUAUAUUCAGUCUUUUUUAGUAGCCACUUGGUCACAAACACUAGCCAAAGUUAGCGUUAAUAUUUAUUUGUGUGUGAAAAAUAAAAAAAACUAAUUUGAAUGCCAAUUUUGGCCACUGUUUGUGACUAAGUGGCUACUAAAAAAGACUGGACAUACCCCAUUUGCAAUACCUUGAGUUGUCUACUAUUGCAAAUGGUAUGCCAUCAUGGGGGUAAUUUUCAUUCCUGGGCUACCAUACGGUCUCAAAGGCAACGUAACCAAUCUGGCGAAUUUCAAUGUGAAAAAACUGAAACGUAAGCCUUAAAUUUGACUCUGUAACUUUUGAAAACACCUUAAAACCUGUACAUGAGGGGUACUGUUAUUCUUGGGAGACUUCGCUGAACACAAAUUUUUGUGUUUCAAAACAGUAAAAAGUAUCACAGCAAUAAUAUCAUCAGUGUAAGUGCGUUUGUGUGUGAAAAAUGAAAAAAACUUCACUUUCACUGAAGAUAUGAUCGUUGCAAUACAUUUUACUGUUUUGAAACACUAAUAUUUGUGUUCAGCAAAGUCUCCCGAGUAAAACAGUAGCCCCCAUGUACAGGUUUUAUGGUGUCUUGGAAAGUUAUACGGUUAAAUAUAAUGCUAGCAAAUUAAAUUCCCUAUAUUUUCGGCCUGGGUUGUCAAGCAGGUCCCGAAAAUUGUAAUUAAUAAAAUGACUUAAUUAUGUAAAAAUAUUACGUAAAUAUAUAUGUAGAAUUAUUAUAAUAUAGGUAUAUAUAGUGAUAUAUACGUAUAUACUUAUGUAUAUACGUAAACAUGAAAUAGCUUGCACUCACGGACUUGAAGUUUAGAAAAAAUCGCUUUAUUCAAAGCAUAUCAUAUAAUCAUCACACCGACGUUUCAGCCCUCGUCCGGGGCUUUCCUCAAAGUGAAUUGACAAUAAACAUUAAAUCACAGUGUUUAAAUAUAUACCCAUAAAAGAGAAGUUAACUUACCACAGGUGAUAACAUGCAGUAUACCGGCGUCUCUACUGACCUAGUGCGCAUGCGCUAGCAUGCACAACGCGGAAGUGAUGAAAACGUGCGUGACCCGGUUACCAUAGUAACAUACCUACGAAAUAGAAGUUGAAACAAAGUGUAAACACCAAGUGCUAUAAAGGAAACUAUUGAUACAACAGUAUCAUUUAGACAGAGUAGAUACACACGCUUGUGGACCAAACAGUAUUGCAAGAGCGCUAGAUUAAAGCAAAUAUAUUAUGAUGCGUGCAUCAGGGUAAGAAGUGAGGCAGAUGAAGUUAUGCACCCAUCAUGCCAAGUGCCUCCUAAACAAGCCUGUGGGGGCAGUGCUAUGAUUAUGUAUAUAGAUAUAUAUAUUUUUGUUCAACUUGUAUUUUGAUAUCAAUAUAUAUUAAAAUCACAAUUCAGUUAGAACGAAAUAUAUAUAUAUAUUUUAAUUAUUUAUUUAUUAUAAUUUUUUUAUUUUUUAACGUAUUUACAUUUUUUUUAUAUUAUAUAAAAAUAUAUAUAUAUAAUAAUUAUAUAUAUAUUUAAUCAAUAUAUGCUCACAGUGCAUCAUCGCAUCUUUGAGUGUAAUGCUUCUAUUUAUUUUUGGAGUGAUGGGGUCCACCUGAUGGAUGUUGGGCUGGACUUAUUUAAUUUAGCAUUACAAGAUGCUUUGGAGGAGGCUAUGGCUGUGGGGUUGGGGUGGCCCUGCUGAUUGAGGGGGUAAACCAGCGGGUCUUGUGGCGGUAUAUGGCCCUUGUGAACCAGGGUUAAAUCAGCGGUCGGUGAAAAGUGGAUGGGUAGGGCUGUCCCUUCCCUAACCUCAGGUACAGUGAUGGAUGCCCACUGAGCCAACUAACCGGCUAGUGGUUAGCAUUACUCAAUGGUGAAGUUUAAAGAUUUAUAUAUUAAUAUCUUUAUAAAGCUGUGGACUAUAUUAAUCCAAAGCAAGUCUGGUGUAUUUUCAUUGGAAACAAAGGUUGGGUUUAUCAAGGGUCAGGUUUAUGCCCAUACACAGUUACCCUCUACCUACGCACAUGAAAUAUUUACUGUAAGUUUCUGUCAAUAUGUUUAAAUCAACCUACUUAGAUUUGUCAGAAUCGGUGGUGUAUAGUAUUGAGAAUCAUAAUUUACUCAAUGUUAAAAAAAACACCUUUUUAAAUAAUAAAAUUGGCCCUGUGUACACUAUGAUUGGCAAGUGUACAGUUAGUAAAUUAAAUCAUUUUUGUACAAAUAGUCUUAAAAUGAAACUUUUUUCAGUUGUCUUGAAUCUGUAAAGCAAUUACCUUAUUUUUUAACUAAUUUAAUAAGCGGUUUAAAGCUCAGAGGUUUUGAAUUACAAUAAACCACAUUUUCUCAUUGUGGUCACACAUUCCAUACUGUCCGCUUUGAAUGUUGAAGGUUUUGGCUUUUUCACAGAAAAGAGCUCAAUGAGUUCAGUUUAAAGGAGUUUCUAAGAUCCAGUUUUAGCACAAAGCAAAUAGAAAGCUGGGGAUAUGUCAUGACCUAUCUUCACCUCUUUAUAUUAUCUUCCCUUUUCUCUCCACUAUGUUGUCUCUCCCAGACUGCUCAUUGCCUGCCGUGUCCGCUCCUGCCUUCAGCGCCAAUGCUUGUGGUUGGGACGCCCACCGCUAACUAAGCUUAGCUUACUCACAUGGCAGGUGCCUACUCUGCUCAAUAUAACAAUUUCUGGCAGGGCCCGGUGGUGAAUGGGUGGGAAGGGAGGCAUAUGUACUUACAUAUGCAGCACUUCGAGAGAAAGGUAGAGAGGCAUGGUUGACCUCUUAAUAAAUAUAAAAAAAAUGUGUAUGUGUGUGUGUGUUUGUCUGUGAUUGUGUGUGUAUGAAUGUAAAUUAGUGUGUGUAUAUCAGCGAUUAGGUAUGUGUGUCUAUGUUUGUGUGUGUCUGUGAUUGUGUAGGUCUAUGAUUGUGUAUGUAUGUAUGUGAUUGUGUGCAUGUUUGUGAUUGUGUACAUUUUUGCCUGUGAUUGAGUGUUUGUAGGUCUGUGAGUGUGUGUCUGCAUGAUUUUUUGUGAAUAUCUGGUUAUGUUUGUGUGUAUGUUUGGUUGUGUUUGUUUAUAUGUGUCUCUUAUUAUGUGUGUGUAGACCUGUAAUUGUGUGUGUCUUUGAUUGUGUGUGUGUAUGCAGCAUGGGGGAUGGGGGGGCAGAUCUGGAACUUCCAAUAGGCUAAGUAGGUGGCCACCUAGGGCGCUUCUUAAGAGGGGCGCCGGCAGUGGCUUUACUGCUCAUCUGGCCGCCCCCUUAUCAAGUUGGAUUAAUCAUAUAGAGCGGUCUGUGGCUGCUGCCGGCUGCGUUACCAGGUGCUGGAGAGCACUUGCUUGUAGACUAGCACCCAGUAGAACAUCGGUCCGGCAUUCGCCUCAGCCUGCAAAGUAAGGACCCCUCUCCAGCCAAGCACCGCGGCAGAGCAAGGGGGCAUCAUUCACUCGCUCCUGUCCCUUGCCCUGUACGUUAGGACAAGUGAGCAGGAGAAUAAUAGGAAAUGGGGCUGAAAAAAACUGUCAGCCACCGGGCGCUAUAAAGAUGACAGGAACGAAGAGCAAAAUGCAAUGAAGGUAAGAGAUAACUUGCAGUGUGUGCUUCAUAAAACGUGUUUCAGUCUGUUUCAAUCAGUAUGUUUGUAUAUGUCAGUCUGCUUGAGUCUGUGUGUGUGUGUGUGUGUGUGUGUGUGUGUGUGUGUAGGUAUGGGUCUGUCUGUGUGUGUGUGUAUGUAUGGGUCUGUGUGUGUGUAUGUUUCUCUGUGUGUCUACAUGGGUCAGUGUGUGUGUGUGUAUGUAUGUGUAUGUGUGUUUAUGUAUGGGUCUAUGUGUGUGUAGGGUUUAGCGUGUGUCUGCAUGGGUCAGUGUCUGUGUGUGUAUUUGGGUCAGUGCAUGAAUCUUUAUGAGUCACUGUUUGUGUGUGUGUGUGAAUGUGUAUCAAUGUGUAUGUAUGGAUGGAUCUGUAUGUGUGUCUGCAUGGGUCAGUGUAUGUGUCUUUAUUUGUCAGUGUGUGUCUUUAUGGGUCAGUGUGUGUCUUUAAGUCAGUGCGUGUGUGUAUGUAUGGGUCUACACAAUAUUAGGCAGGUUGUUUUAAUGUUAUGUUGAUACAAUGGAGAGUAGUAACCUGAAAGGUUUUACAUAUUUUUUUCUGUGUAUGAUUUCUUGACAAUAAAUGCAACUUAUUUGCAAGCAGCUUAAAGGGUUUUUAGUGUUUUUAUAUUCACUUUGUUUAAAUAAAAAUAAAUAAUCUUGAUGCCAAGCCAAAGGUUUUAUAUGUUAGUCAAGAUUAUUCAAAUGAGCACAGAGAUUUAAAAUUUUAUUACUUGCAUGGUUACCCACUCAGUGUAAAAACCUCUGGAAUGUUCAAAAGCCAGAGUUCAUGUAUGGAGCUGUCAAGUCACGUUGGAAUGUUGAAGACAGCUGAACUAGUUCAUUUUGUAACGUGUACCUAAGAACUCAUUUGUUUGUCCUAAUUACUCCAACGUUCACAACAUAGUGUCAGGAUUCUAGUGAUAGUACAGUCUUCUUGAGGCCACAGAGAGUUAUUGAUUAUCUGAUCUGCCCACUUCCUCAUUCUAUUGGUCCCUGUUCCAUUAUUCUCCCUUAUUUAUAUCCAUUGUGUUCUAAGUUCCAUCCAUAUCCAGUCCAUUCCAUUAUUAUCCAUCCAUACCCCUUUGCAUUACUGUAACGUAUACAGGCUUCCAUUUAAUUCUUUUGGAUAAGUUUCAAAUGAUCACAAUCUUUUUGAAAAACUAUUUAUUUACCUAAGUCAUCAUUAAUGUCCAUGGGAAUUAUUGCAGGUAUAAUAUUUGAGAAGUUUUUUUUUCUAACAGAUUGUGGUCAAUUGAAAAGCUUAUGCAAAAUUAUUAAACCGAGGCUAUGGUAUUUAGAGCAGCCUGAGGCUACUCUCGUUUCUGUGCCCAGUGCUGUCAAUUCGGCAGCCCAGUACACUUUCUUCUGGAUUGUUUUAUACUGAUUUGCCAAUAUAUACCAAUAUACCCAUAAACUCCAGUUCACUGAUUACUUUCUGGAUAGAAAGUCUAAGCUCUAAAUCCAGAGUGGACAUGGACAGUUCAUAUAUCAUGGUAGCGAAACAUUACAGUGACAACCAAAAAACAAGUGAAAUCCUCUCAAAUAAAAAAUAAAUAUUAUUAUUAUUAUAAUAAUAAUGAACUAUAACAUGUAUAGAUAUCGUAGCAUUGACCGAUUCAGUGAACACAAAUAUGGAUUCUAUUUUGCAGCUGGGUAUUCAAAAACAUUUUAGUCAUCUGAAACAAUUUACAAGUGCCUUGAGACAUUGAUCAUAGAUGAUGUUAUCUGUUUUCUUAAACUUGAGAGCUCAAAAUGAGUAAAACUAUGUAAUAAAAAAGAAAUGUAUUUAUAUAGAUAUAUAGAAAUAUGUAAAUCAGUGGAGAAUGUAUUUAAUGUCCAGUAAUUCAGUUUUAUGACAUAACAGCAAUAGGUACUGGAUCCCAGGAGGUCCAUAGGACAGCAGUGAAGCAUGUUUCCUUUAAAGGGACAGUAUAGACACCCAGACCACCAGAAGGAACUUUGUAUUCCUUACACUAUAGAAUCCCUUUACCAAACUGCUACAAAUCCCUUUAACAAAGCAAACUAUUUAGUCAGCUGGCAUAUGGCUAAAAACAUACGCUUAAACAAUUAAAUAAAUAUAUAAAAACCUGGGUUUCCCAUAUUAUCAAUAGAAGUAGUCAACAUUUUGGACCAGUAAUGCCCCUAUGGGUGGGGUCAGUCUGAUAUGCAAAUAUAUAGGUUCUAUCUGUAAUGGCUUAGGUCUCAAAAUCAUUUUUGAGACCUAAGCAGGGUCAAGCUAUUCUGUAGGUUUUUUAAGAAAAAAAUAUAUUGUGGUUAUGUAUGCAACAAUUUUAGAACAAUUUGUGUGUAGCAGCUUCAACACGAGUGGUUUUCCUCCAACUUCUACACCAAAAAAAGUCACCAGAAAUAGUCAUAAACAAUGUGGAAUGUUGCAGUGCUUUCUAUUACUUACCCGAACAUGUAGAAUUUUUAAACAGUUAGUGCCAUUAUAUAACAAAACAAGAACUAAAGCAAUAUAGUGUAAUACAGAAUGAGAUAUAUCAUAGAAACAUAGAAACAUAGAAACAUAGAAUGUGACGGCAGAUAAGAACCAUUCAGCCCAUCUAGUCUGCCCAAUUUUCUAAAUACUUUCAUUAGUCCCUGGCCUUAUCUUAUAGUUAGGAUAGCCUUAUGCCUAUCCCACGCAUGCUUAAACUCCUUUACUGUGUUAACCUCUACCACUUCAGCUGGAAGGCUAUUCCAUGCAUCCACUACCCUCUCAGUAAAGUAAUACUUCCUGAUAUUAUUUUUAAACCUUUGUCCCUCUAAUUUAAGACUAUGUCCUCUUGUUGUGGUAGUUUUUCUUCUUUUAAAUAUAGUCUCCUCCUUUACUGUGUUGAUUCCCUUUAUAUAUUUAAAUGUUUCUAUCAUAUCCUUUAUUCUCUCCAUGUGGAUUCAUUAUACCCUUAUGGGUUAAGAGCUCUUGAAGUUGGGGAAAGGAGUGCCAUCUAUAUGUGUUCAUUUAGGCUCUUUAUAAGAUGAGUACAACUUAUAGUGUACUAUUCCAUGUAUAAUGCACUACAUCAUGUGUAUCUCUGUUUUCUCUUUGGAGUAUCCAUCACUAAGUCAUUGUUUAUUUAAUGUUACACCUUAAAGGACCACUCUAGGCACCCAGACCACUUCAGCUUAAUGAAGUGGUCUGGGUGCCAGGUCCAGCUAGGAUUAACCCUUUUUUAAAUAAACAUAGCAGUUUCAGAGAGUAUGUUUUCCUGGAACUAUAGUGGUCCUUUAAAGGCACAUAUAGGCAAAGUAUUUGAACCUUUAAAUUAGACUCUAAUAUAUGUGAGUGGACCAUCUCGUGUUCAAUAUACACAUAGGGUGUUUUAAAUACUGUAUUACACUAUCUUGUUUUAUUUUUUGCUUUGUUGUAUACUGGCACAAACUGUUUGAAAGCCCCACAAGUUAGAGUAAGUGAUAGAAAGCACUCGACCAUUACACUAUUUUCUCUAAGCUUUUACCCGGUCUCAGAGUUGCCAUAUUCUCUGUUUUUCUUGCAGUGGCAUUUACUAAAAGUAAUUUAAAAAGUAAAUAGCUAACUCGGGUUGAUUAAUGAUUUAUUGGGUAAAUGAUUAUGCAUCCAGCAAAUAUUGCUGUUUUAGUUUAAUUACAUUUUGUAUGCAAUGUGAAAUAGUCUGCGCUUUUGAAGAAAGGGGUAUGUCACAAAAAUUAUAAAUUCCAAUUAAAUCAACUUCCGAUCUGUAACAAACUAAAAGGAGGAAAUUUCAAAGAGUGUGAAUGAAUUCAGUGUGCUGUGUGUGAAUCAUUUGGUUACCAUCUCAGCUGUGAAGGUUUUAUGUUUUGGGAAUAUCUCUACCACCAUUGUUUAUCAGGAUCCUAACCUUUUAUCUAUUCUUAUUAGAAAUAAACUAAGUCUUCCAUGUGGAAUACACUGAUUGACUACAUUCUCUGAAAACAAAAAGCCUUUGUCGACACAAAUGAGCAAUGUGGCAUGAUAACUGCAGAUAGCAUGUCUUCUAUGCUUGCCAUGAAUGUGUAUGGUUUCCACAAAUAAUGUCAGGGGCAAAUUUCAGCAUUAAAAAUUAUCUUUUUUUUUUUUUUUAAUUAGGCUCUGCUUUGACCUUUUUUUUGGUUAUCUGAAAAAAAUGUAAAAAAACUAAACAUUUUAAUGGUUUUUAUUUUUUUCUCCAGAUUUUUCAGUUUACUUUCUUGCUCUUCAUACAUUAACCUUUAACCUCAAGGGAUAUUAUAUUUUAGACCCAUGUACUAGGAAUGUCUCCUGCCACUGCACGAUUAUUAUUAUUAUGAUUAUAUUUAAAGAUCUGUAUAAAUAUUUACCAAAGCAUACCCCAUAUGGAUUUACUGCAAAAAACUUUGACUCUAUAAAUACAUUUUUAAAUGAACUGAUUUACGAUCAGUGUCUUGAGCAAACACUAAUAAUGUUUUAACAGCUGCUCUAAUAUUUAGCCACAGCAAGAAGCCUCUUAAUGAAAUAAUUCCCUACAGCUAGCUUUGACCUGAACAUUUACAAUAUAGUUAAUUAAAAAUCCAACAUCCAAAGUUAUAGGGAAACAUGUCACCCUCUUAAUGAAAUAGGGCUGGAGAAUACCCAUUGAGGUGAUUAGCUAUGAUGGGAGGUGGCCGCAUUCUUAAAAUUUUUAAGGGUCUGCCCUUGACAUAAUCUUUUAAAGGUAUGUCCUCAUUUGGACAAUGGAGAUGGGCAUCAUAGAGUUGCAAAUAGUUGAAAAGAUACUCUAAGCAUCAAAACAACUUUAGCUUAAUGAAACAGUAUUGUUGUAUAAACCCCAUGCAGACUCACUGUUCAAAUAUCUGCCAUCUAGGAGUUAAAUCACUUUUGUUUCUGUUUAUGCCACCUUUCCCAUACCUCCACUUAAAAAAUGUUUUAAUAUUAAAUCAGACAUGACAGGGCACUGUGUUUACUUUAGAUAUGUUUAACUCCUGCUCUAGACAUUGAACUUAAAUCAUGCACAGGAUGCUAUUGCUAGGUAUAGCAGGCUACUAACAAAGCAGGAGAUAAGAAAUUCUAAAAUCAACACACUGUGCAAUAAAAGAAGUUUAAACCUUCGAUCUUGCUAUACAGGAAAUGUGUAGGGGAACUGCAUAGGUAAAAUGUGGGAGAGGUGUGACUUGGGCUCCAAAAAAACAAAGUGAUUUACCUCCCAACUGGCAGAGAAGGGAAUAGUUAGAUUGCAGGUACAUAAUCUUUAUACCAACACCACUUAAUCAAUGCGAAGUUGACACUAAAUACAACUAUACAUUUUGAAAUUCAAUUAUCUGUUUCAGAGCAUCUGUGAGUCUUGAGUAUACGUUGGCAGUUUGCUCCUACAAAAUUUCAACUUUAUUAUUUCUGAUUAACUAAGCCCAAUGUAAGAAGAAAAAUCCCAGAAAUGCAAGAGAAGUCAUAACAGGAACAAUUGUAAAAUCUUUGUGUAACAUUGUGAAAAGUUAAUUCCUUAUCAGUUUUUGAUUGUCUUGCUCAAUUUGUACUGGGUAUCUGACUCAGUUCUUGUAAAAGUGUUUCUUUUAAGUAGGACUGUACCGCAAGGGUGGUCUUUGUGAGAUUGUAUUUUGGUAUAUGUAAAAUUGCAUAAUGCAUCCAGUGAGCAAUUUUAAUUAUUACAAAAAACCAUCAUAAAUAGCAUUAUUGGUAGCUACUUUAAACUGAUAGAUUCCAAAAAUACUGUUAUCUCAGACACAAUUCCUCUUUUACUUAAUACACAAUAAAUAACUGAAUAAAUAAACACGUUCUCAUAUCUAUUAUGAUUUUUGCUAGACCCAGUUCCCGUCUACAUAUCUCCAGUGCAUUCCCUAAAGGAUUAAUAAUGCAAUAUACACUAAUUAACCCAGGCUCUCCUGAGUUCACUUACACCCACUUAGAUACUUGCUUUUUGUCAAGAAAAGCAUUUUUCUCUAAACCACACAUUUUUUUUUAGCCUUUUCAGUAAUGGGUACUUGCAAGAUCACAUGUAAUGUUCUAAUGUUUCUAAAAAGUGCACAUACAUACCUAUCAAUUGGGAUUGCUGUUGAUGUUUUGGUAUGUGAUGUAGAAAAUGUAUUUGCUAGAGUACCAAAAGCUGUAUUGCUUGAAAGUGUCAAUUAAUGCUUAAUGCACAAGGCAAUGCAGAUUACAUUAACAAUGCAUUAUGCUGUCAUUGUUUAGUAUUGUGUUGUUGUUGUCAGGUCUGUCAAUCAAAUGAUUUCAGAGGACAGCUAGAAGAAUAGGAAAUCAUUGGACACCCUAGAUUCACUGGAAUACCAUUUGGGUUGGUUAAUAAACUGGAAUUAUAGAUUAUUAUUUUUUCUUAUUGAAGCCAAAGCACAUUUGUGUAGUUGCAUGUUUAUUAAGCUUCUCUUUUGUUAAAAAGAGAAAAAUAUAUUAAAGGGACACUAUAGUCACCAGAACAACCAUAGCUUAAUGUGUUUGUUCUGGUUAGUAUACCAUUCCCUGCAGGCAUUUUCAUGUAAACACUGCCUUUUCAGAAAAAAAGGUAGUAUUUGCAUUAUUCCCUAUGGAUAGAUAUCACCAGUGGCGACUCUUCAGAUGGCAACUGGAGGUGCUUCGUGAGCAAAGCUGCACAGUAUGCAACACUGCCAUUCAGUGUAUUUAUGCUCUGUAUGGAGACUCUGAACUUUCCUUAUAGAGAUGCACUGAUUCAAUGCAUCUCUAUGAGAAGGUGCUGAUUGGCCAAGCCGGCAUUUGAACCCGCCCCCAUCCAGCCUCCUUGUCAAUUUCAGCCUAUCCAAUGCUUUUUCAGAUUGGCUAAAAUUAUAAAUUCUGAUGAAGUCAGCAAGGAGAAAGAAUGGGGGCGGUGCCAGAGCCUGCAGACCCAUGCGCUGCUGGAAAUAAGGUAAGUUUUAUUAUUUUAUAGAGGGGCUAAGGGAGGGAUAGUCACCUUAAUGGUGGUUUUAAUACUAUGGGGUCUGCAAUACAUGUUUAGGUUCCUGACCCUAUAGUGUUCCCAGUGGUGUAUCCUGGUUUUGUGCUGCCCUAGGCAGGACAAAACUCAGACGCCUCCUACCUCCGUGCCACCCCCACCCAACCCUUCCCCCCAGCCCCACCUUCUAAAUACAUACACACACACACAGUCAGACACACAGACACACACAGUCAGACACACACAGUCAGACACACAGACACACACAGUCAGACACAGACACACACACACAGUCAGACACACACACAGUCAGAAACACACACACAGUCAGACACACACACAGUCAGAAACACACACACGCAGUCAGACACACACACACACAGACACAAACACACACACACAGUCAGACACAAACACACAGUCAGACACACACACACACGCAGUCACACACUCACACACAGUCACACACACACACACACACACACACACAUUCAGACGCACACACACACAUUCAGACACACACACACACAUUCAGACACACACACAGUCAGACACACACACAGUCAGACACAAACACACACACACACACACACACACACACACACACACAGUCAGACACAAACACACAGUCAGACACAAACACACACAGUCAGACACAAACACACACACACAGUCAGACACACACACACACUCACAUUAACACUUUUUUUUUUUAUUUAAACCCCCCCCCCCAGCCUCCUUAUCUUUGGGAAUGCUGGGGGAGGGGGGUUCCCUCACUCCCUGGGGUCCAGUGGCUGCUGGGCAGGCGGCUGGCGAGCGAGCUCUUCCUCUGAGCGGUCUGCUCAGCUCCCUCGCGUGCUGCAGAGUGAGGCUGGGAGCCGGAAUAUGACGUCAUCGACCCGGUUCCCAGCCUCACUCUGCGGCACGCGAGGGAGCUGAGCAGACCGCUCAGAAGAAGUGCUCCCUCGCCAGCCGCCUGCCAGUGCCGCCCGCCCGACCGGCAUGUCAGUUAGCCACAAGGCUAACAAGGCAUUUGCCCUGGGCAUUUGGGGGGCGGCGUUUUUGCCGCCCCCUGAAAAAUGCCGCCCAAGGCAAAUGUCUUGUUAGCCUCGCAGCUAAUACGUCCCUGAGUGUUCCUUUAAAGUAAGAAAAAUCGAUAUUUACAUUCUAUCUCUGGUUGAGUCUUCUGGGACAAGUGUGUAAUGUGUAGGCUUGUAAGUCAUGGUAUUUGUGGGCUGUUACAGCUUAUGUACUUUGGUAACUGGUAGGCAUGUAAGCCAUGUUAUAUUUAGGCAGCAGCUAUUAUCCUCAUGUAUACACUAUAUUCUAUGUGGUAGCCACUUUAGCGCAGAUAUAGCUUUUGAGCAUUGUGCCCUCAUUGCUACCCAUGACAUAUUGGAACUGAUUUUUGCACUGGCUUCUCUGACAUCUUCUUUUUGGGUAAUUCUUGCCAUUUUAGAAGGUCUUGAUACUUAUCUACGAUAUUUCCUUACUGUCAUCUUACAGUUUGAGGGAACAGUGAGACCGUUUUAUAGUAACUAGUGUUGAUCUCCUCUACAUCCUGCUAUUAUGCCUCUUUGGUGUGCAGUGAAUGGGAGAACCAGACACUAGCAUAUUCAAUAUAUAAUGAUAUCUUCUCACUGUCAACACUCUCAACAUAUGUGAGUGUUUUGUACUGUUUUGGGUUAAGGGUAUGGCCAUAGAUGGGUAGCUUACAACAAUUACAUUCAACUGUGUACCCUGUCCCAAAAUUCAAUUUUUUUUUAGUGUAUGUUUGCGAUUUGUGGCUUACACCCACUGCAGGACAUUUGUGGGUUUUUUUCUGCUUUAAUUAUUUUUGGACAAAUCAAUCAAUGCAAGACACAAUAUAUACAUCGCUGUCAGAAUUCCAUGGAUAGUUGUGUUUAUAACGAAAUGACUGUUAUUUUUAUAAAAUGCGAUAAGAUGAUUUUAAGGAGCACGGUUUAUAUUCCAUCCUAUAGGUCAGUGAUGGCUAAACUGCAGCUCUCCUGCUUUUGUGGACUGCGGCCAGCAGCUGGGGGAACAUCUUGAGAACACAACAGCUGGAACGUAAAGGGAAUUCCCACCUGUGGAGCUGUGCUGUGCGGAGGAAAUAUUUCGAUGAUUUCUCUCAGUGGCACAUUUAACACCAACGCUGUAUCAUACAUCAUGGGCCACAUUGAAUAGCAGAAUGCAGGUGAUAUUAUAAAGUAUAUUUCAUUUUUUUCUUUUUCUUUCCUGAUCAUCCAACGCGCAAUAAUGUUUGCACAGGGGGGUGAAAAAUCUAAAAAAAAAAAAAAUAACCUUAAAAUGUCACCAUAUUUCUUAGAAUCUGCAAUACAAUUAUGCUGCAGCUGUUCCUUUCAGAUGUGUAUGGGAUGUAAAGCAAUGCCUCCCUAGAGUUCAUGCGUGGUGUUGUUUGCCUGAAGAAGCCAGAUGGGACAGGAAGCACAUUAGUCGUCAGUGUAACCAAAAAAACGAAAUCUCAGUUCAAUAAUUCAAUAGCUAAGACAGAGCUCUCUCGUGUAUUCAUUUAAAACAAUAUGUUGCAUCACUUUUACAAACUAUUCAAAAACAGUUUGUUUUCGCUAUGUGAAAUCGGAGGCCCUGCUUAGCACAAGAGAUUGGGACACCGUCCUUUUUUAAUUCAUAAACAAUUGGUGCCACUAUUCAUCCACAUUAUUUCUGUAGAAACACACCGUGGUGAGAUAACGAAUUCCUUUACAUCCAGUAACUACAGCCAUGUAUAUAAGAUGCAGUAAUAACUCACUUUAUAGCGUUUUACAGUGUUUUAUGAAUACAGUGUUUCUCAAUAAUAUUAAAAUGAUGACAUUCCUGUAUUGCCCCUAUUUUAAGGUUACCAAUGCAAAUAGUGGUGACUAUUUAUUAUUUUUACUUUAACAUGUUUUUUUGUUUUAUUGCUAUUGCACACUUAGUUUACAUAUAAUGUAUGAUAGAGUAAAAUGUUUUAAGGUUUUUAUAUGCACUAACAAGUGAAACAAGUCUGUUAUUCACUUUACAGUGAUAUUUGCAUUACAGUGGUUGUCCGGAACCGAACAUGCUGUAUUAGUGAGCUGUAUAGCUCAAUUGGAGUAGAAAAAAAAGUGCUAAAAGUAGAUUUAAUUAUUAAAACAUUUGAUGUGGUUUGUAUUGAGAGGCUUGAUAAUUAGAGUUUUGACAAAUUUUCGGCUGCUGUAAUAAUUACAUGAAGAUAUUUAAAUUAUAAAUAAAUAAAUAAAUAAUAAUUAUUGAUACAUACUCCUAGAUAAUCACCAGACAAUCUGCCAUGGACUGCCAAGUAUAGUUUUAUCCAGACCUUGCCAUGCCCCAAAUACUUGGGAACACUAUUUAGAGACAUACAAGGGAGUCAGUUCAGAAAAUGCCCGAUCUUUAUUAAACAGUACAAGGGUUUUAAGCUUUGUGGGCAGAGUGAUAGGUUAAAACUAGUUACUAUAGUGCUGAUAUUAUAGAUCAUAUUGUUCUGGGUUCUAUUUUUCCAACCAUUUCUUGGUGUAAAGUAUGGCUGGUCAUUUGUAGACACAAACAGCUAUUCAUAAAUGUACAAAUAUCAAUACCGGAUUGUGCUUCUCUGAUGAAUGUAGGAAAUAGUAUUCUCAAUUUGUCAAAGCAGCAGUUUACCAUGAUACACUGUUUCUUAUAGAGCAAUACAAGAAACUUAACCCUGUCCCUAUAAGGUCGCAUUUAUCGAAAGAAGAAAAUACUUUUUUUCCACUUUUUUAUGUUUUUAUUCUGUAUCUAUACAGGCUUUUUAAUAGAGAUGAUUUACAGAAAAAAAGAAAAAUCAGUGCUCACAUGACUGAAUCUAGCACGCCAGGAUCAAAAUAUAGAUUUGGUGCAUAGAUUUCUGUUCAGGGUACUUGUUUUAAUAUUUCUCUUCAUUCAAAAUUAUUUAGUUCAAGAACAUACAAAAAGAAAAAAAAAAAAGUAAGACAAGAAACAUCAUUCCAAUAUCAAAAAUAAGCACCUGACUAAUUGUUUCUGACAUAGACAUGUUAUUUCCCACUCAAUUUUCAUAUCUUAUUAUUUAAUCUGUUCACUUUUAAGUUAUUCGUUAGAAUAUUUAAUCUUAAUCUUUGUAAGCACUGAUUCAUUUUUUCUAUUACUUCUAUAUUACUUUUUUUAAUGUUUGAUGUUUUCUUGUGUUGGGUUCAGUGGCGUAACUACCAGGGUUGCAGGGGUCUCAGCUGCGACCGGGCCCAUCACUCCAGGGGGCCUGACCGCCACUGCAAUCCCUGCGGCCGUAGGCUGCCAGAAUACCUUUAGGGCCGGUACUCAGCCGCACCAGUAGGGCCCUGCGGUCGCAGGCUAACCGGCAGGAGGGGAGCGAUGUGCUGUGCUGCUCCCCUCCUGCCGCUGUGUGUAGUGUUGCACUGAGAGAGCACUUCCUGUCACACUCAGAUGGGUACCACAAUCGCGGAAAACAGGUAAGGGGGAAUGGGAAAAUGGAGGGUUUGCAGUGGUGGGGAGGGGAUGGCGAGUCUGCAGAGGAAGGGGGGUAAUGGAGAGUCUGCAGGGGUAAGGGGUGAGAAAUGGAGGGGCUGCAUGGAAAGGGAGAGAGAAAAAUGGAGGGGCCCAGGUAAAUGGUGGGGGAGAGAGAAUUUGAGAAACUGCAGGGGAGGGGAGGAUGGAGAGAAAUGGAAUGGCUACAAGGAAAGGGAGAAGGAGAGAGAAAUGGAGGGGCUGCAAGAGGGUAGAUAGUCACAUGGAGUGGCAAGAGUGGAGGGGGAGAAAGACACGGAGGUGCCUAGGAGAAAUGAGACACAUGGAGGGGCUUUUGGGGGGAUGAGACACAUUAAGGGUCUAGGGGGGAAUGAGACAUGUGGAGGGGAUUGGGGGAGGAAAUGUUACACAUGGGGGUAGGAAAUUAGACACUUGCGGGGGGAUGAGACACAUGGGGGGCCUGGAGGGAGGGAAUGAGACACAUGGGGAAAUGAGACACAUUGGGGCAAUUUUCGCACGGGGGCCCGAGGUUUCUAGUUACGCCUCUGGUUGGACUAAUUUUAUUUACAGCAGAUAUACCAUAUAGUUGGAUGCAAAAUAUCUGUUAGUUGUUGAACUCUUUCUUUUUUUAUCCAUCAUUAUAAUGUAACCUCUAAUAAUGGCUUUAUAUGUACACAAUACAGCAGCAUUUGCGAUAUUAUCUGUAUGUUUUCUCUAAAGAAACAGCAAUUUAUUUUAUGUAUUCUACAUUACCUUUUUUAUAAAAGAGAUUUUAAUUUAAUCUCCAAGUACAUCUAUUUAAAUUACGCAAUUGAUUUACAUCUAUAAUGACAAUGCCAUGGUCAGACCAGGCAUUAUCUUAUCUUGACAUAGACUUUUGACAAAUAUAUAGUUUGCUAUCUUGCUGUGUUUUAAACUUUUCAAAUAUCACACAGUCUGGUUUUUUUUUUUGCACAAAGUGGGGAAAUGAUUUGCUUGUUUUAUUAUUCUAAUAUCUCCCUCUGGUAAUCUUAUAUUGAGAAAUGGAUCCAUGAAAAAAUUAAAAUCGCUCUCAAUCAGUAGUUUAACUUUUUGAAUUGAUCCAAUUUGGCAAGAAUUUUACGCAGACAAUAAUUGGCUUGAUAUUAGGUAAAUAAACAUUAAUCAGUGUGUAGACUUGAUUAUUAAUUUUACAUACAAUAAUCAGAUGAUGGGCUGCAAUAUCCUGAUUUUGAUAGAUCAUCUUAAAAUUUACUGAAUGGGAAAUUGCAAUAGCCACCCCACGUUUCUUUUUGUAUUCCAUAUAACCUUGGAAAACUUCAGUAAAUCUCUUCACUCCCCAUUGUUCAUUUCUUGUUUUUGUCCAAUGAGUUGCUUGUAGAAAACUAAUUUGUAUUUUUCUUUAGUUAAGAUAAUAUACAUUAAAUGUAUUUUGUUAGUAGGAUUUAGUCUCUGCACAAUUGUAAAUAAAAACCUAUUAUAAUGGAAUGCAAUAUCUUCUAUAAUUAGUACCCAUAACAAAUAUCUACACUAUAAACUAUACACACUAUAUACACUACUAAAAAAAGGAGUAAAACCACUGAAAAGCACUAAUCAUAACAAAGAUACUGAGAUCUGGUGUUCACUAAGUAAAUAUUUACAUAGUUACAUAGCCAAAAAGAGACAGGCACCCAUACAAGUUCAGCCUUUCUCACAUCUGUUUUUGCUAUUGAUCCAAAAGAAGUCAGAAAACCCCAGACAAACAAUAAAAAAAAAAAAAUCAUUCUUGACCCCACAAUGGCAGUCAGAUGUCUCCUUGGAUCAAGCAGCUAUUACCCCGCUAAUAAAAAAUUAUAUCCCUGAAUAUUAUGUUUUUGUAUUAAGUAUUUAUCCAAUUGCAGUUUAAACAACUGUACAGACUCUGAUAAAACCACCUCUUCAGGCAGAGAUUUCCACUUAUUGUUCUUACUGUAAAGAACCAUUUUCCUUUGCCUUAGACAGAAUCUGCUUUCUUGUAUUUGUCCAAUGAGUUUUUAGUAGAAAAUCAAUUUGUAUUUUUUUUCUAAUUAUGAUAUUAUAUAUUAAAUGUCUUUUGUUACUAGUAUUCAGUCUCAGCUCAUUUAGAGAUCAAAACCUAAUCAUAAUGGAAUUCAGUAUCUUCCAUAAUUAGCACCCAUAAAAAAAAAAAAAUAAAAUAUAUAUAUAUAUAUAUAUAUAUAUACUAAAGAAGAAAGGAGUAAAACCUUUAAAAGACUCUAAUCAUAACCAAAAUACUGAGAUCUAGUGUUCACUAAGUAAAUAUUUACAUAGUUACAUAGGCAAAAAGAGACAGGCACCCAUCAAGUUCACACCUUUCUCACAUUUGUUUUUGCUGUUGAUCCAAAUAUAGACUAAAAAAAACAGUUUGAGGCACUUCCAAUUUUGCAACAAACUAGGAAAAACAUCCUUCUUGACCCCAGAAUGGCAGUCUUUGGAUCAAGAAGCUAUUACCCCACUAAUUAAAAAUUAUAUCCCUGAAUAUUAUGUUUUUUUGCAAGUAUUUAUCCAAUUGCUGUUUAAACAUCUGUAUAGACUCUGAUAAAACCACCUCUUCAGGCAGAUAAUUCCACAUCCUUAUCGUUCUCACUGUAAAGAACCAAUUCCUUUGCCUUGCACUGAAUCUCCUUUCUUCCAAUCUAAAUGCAUGACCUUGUGUCUUAUGUAUAGUCUUAUUUAUAAACUUGUACACAUGGUCGGGUGAUGUUAAUGAAUUAAAAUCUAUUACUAAAUAUAUAUAACUAGAAAGAGUACAUCAAAAAUUGUGCUAAUAAUCUAUACAAAAAUAUGUUUAACAUUAUUUACCAUAUUAGUACUGCAGUGAGAAUGCAAUUUUAAACAUGUGUAAUAAGAGUCUCAUAUAAGUGUUAAGAACUGUGUUUAAGCUAUUUGAGAAGAUUAUUAAUAGUGGUCUUAAAAAUACAUCCAAAGUCAUAAAAAUAAUAUAUACAUAGAAAUCUUUAGUGUUAAUUUCGAUAUAAGUAUUUUAAAUAAAUAAAUACAAAUUAAUAAGACUAUAAAAAAGUCUCAUAAAAAUACCAAAAAAUUGUGUUUAUGCACUGUGGAAAAAAUAUAUAUAAAUUGUGUUUUUUAACAAGUGCUUUCAUAAUGUGAUAUAUACAAAUGUAAGUGAUAUAUACAAAAAGUUAAAGUCUCAGAAAAAUACCUCUAAAGUUAUGAUAAUAUACAAAAAUAUCUUUAGCAUUGUUUACAAUAUAAGUACUACAGUAAAAAAAAUAUAAAAAAGGUAUAAAUAUAUAAAGGAACUAAUAAAAUAACUUAUUUUUGUCUCAGCAACUCAUUAGCUUGUUACAAAGAGCUAAAAGAUUCAAAUCGAUCGUAAUGUGAGACAAUUGUCUCUGAAUGCUGAUAGCAGAAGCCACAGUUCUUUUAGCUCUUGUAAAAUAAGAAACAUCAGUUAAUAUUCUUAUGUCUUGAAACCUUCCUUCUGUUAGUUUUGUAUUUCUUUUUGCUUUUAAAAUUAACUCAUAAGUGUGGAAGCAGACAGUCACUUAUCUUGGGAUAUGGUUUGGAAGAGUCUUGGGCUACUUAUUAAUCUAUGGCAUUUGUACAUUUUUUUGUUUAUGUUCAUCUUUCGCAAGCCCAAUGCCAGAAAAUAUUAUUUGAUGAAUCGUGCAGCUUAUCUGAUGGAAUUUGUCCUGAGAUCUUUCUUUGAGAGAUCUUGCAUUUGUAAAACUGAAUUAUCCAUUUGAUUUUUUGACUUUCAUACCUAGUGGUAAGAAAAUGUGGAAGAAUGUCGAUACGCCUUUCUCACAUUUUGUAAAAUCUUUUUUCUCUCUUUAUUUGGGAUUAAUUCCCUGAAGAUUUAUUUGAAGUCAUAUUGACACUUAUUUCUCUUGGUUCUCAGUGAGAAAAGCAAAAAAGGAUUAUUUUUUUCUGUUGAUGUCAAACUUAUAGUUUUAAUAAACCUUGAGCACUAAUGCUGAGAGAGAAAAAACAAGCAAAACAAAACAAAAAAGGGAUAAUUAAAUGAUAAAAAAAAUGUCCCAAUUUAUUUUUUGUAUUUAUUUACUGGGGGUAUCUCUUAUCUUGUAGUAUUUCUUACAGAAAUACCAUUUGAAUACCAGCAAAAUACCAUCUGUAUCACAUUCUAUAAGUGUGACAAAAAUAAGUUAAAAUAGUUAAAAAAAAACACUUAUGGGUAGUUCUAAAGAUUAUGACAAUUUAGCAGAUUUGACAUGCCAGUAAUAUCUGCAUGUUGGUUUAAUGCCCACAUACAAUAAGUAUAAUUGUAUUACUAAAACAAGGCAAUUGGCUGCAUGGGGCCAGAGUCCUGCAGCAGUGAUGUGCAUUGUAUCACUAAGAUGACAUUCUCGGGACACGCUACGUAUUCGUCCUAGUGGCAAUGAUCCGAACUUUGGGAGACAUGCCUAUUACCCUGGUCAUCCACUCAGCUCUCUUCUAGUCUUCCUUCCCAAAGCUGCUCCACAAAUAUAUUAAAAAAAUGGCCAGGGUCUUCCACUCUAUAUGUCUUUGCUUUUUAACACUAUAUCUAGUAUGUCAACUUAUUACAUUACUACAUAAUUUGCAAAUAGAUAAAUGAGAGGAUCAGUAGGAUGGAUUAUUGGAAAAUCUGCCAUUGUAGGCACUGUAAUACUGAGACAUAAAGACCAUUUCGAAUUCCAGAUCUUCAAGAGAUUCUGGGUUAACAAUGAAAAUGUGCUACAAUUGACCCCUGCUUCUCAGGAUAGUACUUGCGGCUCCAGGCUGGGUCAGCCUCUUCCUAGCUACAACCCGGGCCCGACAGUAAACUUCCACACUAUUGAAGAACAGUGUGACAGUUAUCUGGCUCUGUUGGCCAUCCACACUGCUUCUGGUCUGGGCUAGUAUAGUAAGAAAUGGAAGUUCAUUCUUUCGCUUUAUCAUAUUAAGUUGGGACAUUAUUCAUUGGCUCCAUUGUAGUGUUAGACAACAAGCUCAGCCAAUCAGUAUUGUCUCAGCUUGAUAUAAGUUGGCAUGAUCGUGACAGAAGUGUGAACCGCUACUUCUACCAUACCAGUUCAGAUCAGAGCCAGACACACAAGGUUACCAUUAACCAGUGCAGUGUGCAGUAGCGGUAAUCGUGUUUAGUAUCUAAUACAUUUGCACACAUUUGAAGAUUUGCUGGGGUUCCACUUACCUUUGGAGCCUGCCAAACACAAUCAUUAUGUACAUAAUUCCCUAUUUCUGCAUCCCGAGAAUUGGAAAGGUGUAAAGGGAGCGGUCCAGUGAUGCAGUUGUGUCACUGGCUCCACCCAAAGGGGGCUAACCUGUCUAGAAAAGGGGUGGGUCUCCCCAAAUUACUGGUAAGUCAGCCUGGCAUGCCUACCAAUCAUCAAAGGUCAGCCCACUGAGGACAGAUCCUGCAGGGAGCACGGUUUCACUGCUCACUGACAGGUCCUGGAGCCCUGAACCUAAUAUUGUCUAUGUCAAUAUAUUGUCAAUGGUUGUUGGGGACAGUCAAGAUGGCAGAACAGGACCCGGAAAUCAGGACUGUCCUGACAGAAUUAAGGCAGUUGGGAGGCCUGUUAUAUAUGAUGUUAAUAUAUGUAGCAUCUGCGCAUCCCCUACCUGGCUUUUUAUUUAUAAGAAAGAGCACAUAUAUGGAGAAAGACAUUGAUGAAUUCCUGCCACAUUCUUCUUCAUUUCCAAACUGCAGAUAAAAUAAGCUUACAUUGCAUUUUUAUAUAAUUUUAUUUCAUCAUUUUGGUUGAUAGUAAAAGUCAGAAACUUCUGUAGAACCUUCUGUAGAACCAUUGAUGAAUUCCUGCCACAUUCUUCUUCAUUUCCAAACUGCAGAUAAAAUAAGCUUACGCUACAUUUUUAUAUAAUUUUAUUUCAUCAUUUUGGUUGAUAGUAAAAGUCAGAAACUUCUGUAGAACCAGAUUGGUUUGUGUCAGGAUGAAGAGUGCAUUCUUGAGUAAGCUAUACACUAUGAAAUAAAACAGACUCUUGGAACACAUUUAGCAAUUAUUUAUUAGUAAAGAAAAUGUUUAGACCCUUUUGAACUUAUUACCAAAUAUAUGCAAAAAGGAUCUUUGCUGACAUGAAACUUAGAUAUAUUCCAGCUGCUCUUCUGGGAAUUACCCAUGUUACAGGCGAACACAGUAAAAGACUUCUCUAAAACGAAGUAAUCAUCAGUGUUUAUUUGCAUUACUAAGGGCACAGCGGCAGAACUGAUGUAAAUGGUGCCCUGGUGCUAGAAGUAUUUUUUGGACCCCUCUAGCGCAAGAAUGGCUAAAUGGUAGAUCAUUAACUAUUGUACAACUCCUGCUUUGCAAGGCAGAGAUCUAGCAUUUUCAAAUCCUUGCAGGGUUGUAUUUGUGAGCAAUGUAUGUGUCUUUGAAUGUAAGCAUAUUUCUACAUUAAAUAUGUGUGUUUUUGAAUGCAGUAGUGUAUUUGUAUGUACUGUUGCCAUUUGAAUGUAGUGGUGUGUGUAUGUAAUUGUGGCCUUUGCAUGCAGUUGUGCAUUUGUGGGUAAUGUUGGCAUUUGAAUGCAGGGGUGUAUUUGUGUAUUGUGCUGGUGUUUGAAGGCCUGGAUGUAUUGCCAUAUACACAUACACUGCCAAACACAGAUAUACAAAUAUAUUGACAUAAGUACACAUACACACUGACACACACACAUACUGACACAGAUAUGAAUACAGACAUAUACAUACAUAGAUACACAUACACACACACAUCCUGACACAGAUACACGCACUGACACACACACAGAUACACUCACAUACUGACAAAGAUACAUAAACACACAAAUACACACACAUACUGACACAGAUACACACACACUGAAACCAUAGAUACACUCCCAUACUGACACAGAUACACACAUACUGACACAGAUACACAUAUACAUACGCACUGACCGAUACAUACCCUCAGUGACCCAUACACACACAGAGUGACCCAUACACACUCACCCACAGUGACUCCCCCCAACACAGUGACCCAUACAUACAUUCAGUGACCCUCCCCACACACAGUGACCCAUAAAUACAUUCAGUAACCCCCCCCACACACAUAGUGAACCAUACAUACAUUCAGUGACCUGCACACACACACAGUGACCCAUACAUACAUUCAGUGACCCGCACACACACACAGUGACCCAUACAUACACUCAGUAACCCACAAAGGCAUGCUGCUGCUUCCUGCUCCUUUUUGUUGAUUGUGGUUAUGCAGAAACUGGCCCCAGGCUCUACACAGUAAUGGGCUCCCUCCUUCCAGAGAGCGCAUAGAGAAAGUGAUAUAAUUUUUUAGUGCUGCCACGGAGGAUUGUGUGCAAAGGUACAUGGGCCCCCCGAUGGGCCCCCUGUGAGUGCCACACCAUCAUGGCAAACUAAGCUGCUUAAUUGCUCCCUCCACCCCCACAAGAAAUCAGCUCCAUCUCCAUUUUCUCCCCCUUGUUCUGGUGCCAUGGACAGAACUCCAAAUCAUUGCCCAUUUCGUUUGUUUUGUGAUAUAUCCAUAUGAAAGGUUGGAUUUGCGGAAUUUGGAUGAAUUAUUAAUUUUCCAAUAUUUGGACGAAUCGUGAUUAGUUUGAACCGAAUGCACAAGUCUAAAACUGCUGAGCUAACAAGUGUACUUCGCUAUACAGGUUAAAAAGCAUUAAUGUAACUAUACAGUAAGUGGAGUAGAUAUACAGGUUAUAUAUGUAUGUAUAUGUGCAUUUUGUACUGACAGAUAUACUUAAUACUAUUUACCUUGCAUUACUGUAGAAGGAAAGUAUAGUAAGCAAAAGUUGUAAGUCUAACCUUGGGCACCACUCCCUCUCAGCCUAAGGGAGACCCGGAAACUCCUGCUAUGAUGGAAGCUGGAAGCCCCUGCUCUUCUGAGCUAUGCCGCGCAGCUGAGCGUGUCAGCUGAUAGCUCAGCUAAUGACCUAAGCCCUGCACUGCGGGGCUUAUCACAGAGCCUUGUGGAAUCCUGGAAAGAAGUCAAACCAUUCCUAAACAUUCUGAUUACUUACAUUGGGUGUACAUGGGCACAGCUUGAUGUAGUUGCUAUGGUGGUUGGAGUGUUCCUUUAAGAGCUUCUUCAGAAUUCACUCACACGUUAAACGAUGAACUCCAUUAGGUAUGUUUUAGGCAUUAAAGGAGUCUAAAGUUAACAUAGGAAUCUAUAAAAAUUUAAAUCUCUAUUUAAGGCUAUGCCAUCUACCCUGUAUUUAUAUAUUUUAUCCUUAUCUCUCCCUGGUGCUUUGCCAGCAUCAUGGCUGUACGAGCAUUAUGAGAGAUGUAGUCCAUAACAUCUGGAGUGCUGAAGGUUGCUCACCCCUUCCCUAUACAGAGGUUAAUGGAAUUUUGCAUUCUUAUUAAUGGAUAUAACCCAGGUGUGUCCAACCACGGACCACCAGCUGUGGUUACAUUAUAAUUCUAGGAAGACAAUGCCUUCAAAGUCUUGCCAAGAAUGGACUGUCCCAGAUUAAACCCAUUAUACAUAUGUUAAAUUAAACACAUGCUGCAUGACUCCACUUUGAGAAGUUGUAUACCAUAUGGCUAAUGAGAAUUGUAAAUGAUUGAAGCAUAGGUGAGAGAACACGUUAGGGCUUUACUAACAAUUAAAGGAAAACAAGCAUACAGCAUACUUCAAGGUCAAUUAUUUUUUAUAUUCAAACAGUUAAAGAAUUACUGGCACAUCACUUGUUUAGCAGACAUGGAGAUUUUCAGUGCAUCUCUACCUAUCAAACUGCUUAUAUUUGUUUAUUUUUCACAAUCACCAUAAUAUUUUUUAUAAUUGCCCCAAUCUUAAAUAUCUUUAUUAUGUAGGUUUCUGAAAUACAAUAUACCUUUAUGCAAUAAGAACUAGUUUGCAUUUCUUUUUUCUUUUUUUAUUUGACUGUCAUGACUCUUACAUAACAAAUAAUGGUUUAAUAAAGACUGAGUUUUAAUACAUGCUCCAAGAAAGUGUAGAGGGCCUCCCAAGUGUCAUGUAUCUGUUGGAGGUGGUGCCAGAGUGAAACUCACAGGAUACAUUCGUAAGAAUACACAUACCCUAUGCUAAUCUCUCAAUUUCAUCUCUCAACCAAACAUCCCCCAAACAUCUACAUUCUAUGAAGCAUGAUGUCAGUGGGUAGGUAUAAAGAGGCGGGCUAGUGACGUCAAUCACAUCACUGUUGCUGCCCAAAGGGGCAGACCUGCCUGGAAAGGAUGCAAGUCUACCCGUAGAAUUGGAAGGUCAGUCUGGAGUGAAUAAAUGCCAGGCAACCUGCCAUUCAGCAGGCUGGCCAACUAGGAGCAGCCAGAAGCUCUUGGUAUGCAGUCUGGGACAUAUAAAAAGGUAGAUGUGAAAGUAUAAUUAAGGGGACAUGUCACACUGUUAGAGUCCAAAGCAGCAAGAGUAUUUAUACAGUGUGCAAAGUCAGCUUUACCUUGACUAAUUUAUAGUCAGCCAGACCACACAGGUUUUGUUCGCCUAGACCCCUCGUAGGUUUCCAUGUUUAAUUCCCUCUGUACAAUGCAAGGGCAAGUGAAAAGUAGUAAAAAAGAAAAAAAUUAAUUAAAUCAAUGAGCCUAUUCUAUGGGCAUGGGUCUAUAGCUUCAGCUCUAUUAUCCCUAUAUUAUUCCGUACCUAAUUGUGUGGACUCAAAAAAAAAAUAAUAAUACACAAAUAAUACACUAUCUUGGUUCCAAAUACUCAAUAUAGCCUUCUUAUGUCAUAGUUGAAUUGGCUAGUGAAAUUGAUAUAUCAGUACAUUACAUCUCCACACACAAUGGACAUUUUAUAUAAAUACUACUAGUGACAGGUUAAUGGUUAAAAGAGCAAUGUUAGGGGUGUUUAUGAAAUUUUAGGAAUAGAGGUAGCAUAAUUGUUACACACCCCCUCUCCCCAAUAUAAAACUAGAAUAGAUUUAUUCCAUAGUGUUAAAUCUCUUGUAGUAAAAACAUUCAGUAAAUAAAAUUCUCCCUCUUCUUCUUAAAGUGGUUUUGUCAUGACUAGUUCACUUUAACUAAAACUCACUCGUAGACAAUAAAUAGGUAAAUAGUUAAAAGCUUUGAGAUCUAGAACCUUUUGUUUUCGCUCCCUCACUGCCAUGUUCAAAGCUCCAUGGUCUCGGCACCUUUAUAGACCCCUCGCCUCUGUUCCUGCCUUUGACCCCAGGCAUUCUGAUUUGAUCGGCACAGCUUGGGCAAACCUCUCCAUCAGUUUGACAAUUGAGCAGAGUGACAUCAUUCCUGUACUUCUACAGACAGUUCAAGGAGUGCAUGCUAGAGAAGUAACCAAAAAACCACGCUGCUGUAUUUGUCGUGCCAGAGAGCAGGAGAACCAUCUCUGCUACUGGUUCGUGGCAAUCAGUUUUACUGAAGCAUUGAUUGAUAGGAGGGGGAGGGACCUAAUUCUAAAUAGUUUUCACUGUCUAAAAUUUGCUAGCAUUUCUGCCAGUAAAGUUUAUAGAUAAAAUUUAAUGGACUUAGAAAUUGUAAUAAAUGUAUCCUGACAGGUGCUUUAACUAAUUAAUCUAAUGAUUUAAAUUGAUUUGGUCAAUUAAAGUGACAAUAAACUUCAUAACAUGUAAUAUAGAAAAGAUAAUUCAGUAACCAUUAGCAUAAAAUUCAAUGGAUUAACAAUCCGUAUACUAAUGAUAAUAAGAAACAUAAAAAACUUUAAGAGUUUAUUUUGUAAUUCUAUGCUAGUAUGCACAAGUCUUUGAAUUCUCAAGGUAAAUAAUGCAAAAAAUAAUCAAACUACUAAUACGUAGGAAGAAAGAUCAACUCGCUAAGGUCAUAAGAACAAUUUCAAAGCACAUUCAUAUCAGGGGAAAUGGUAGAACAAUAGCAAAUCAGCAGGAAAUAUAGAUCUGCAAUUUCGGGAAACUGACAUCUUAAUUCCAUAAUCCCCUAGUCUACCAGACUAAUCAAUGACAUUCCUGUAAACUGGGUCUCUUCCUCGUGGACGCCUUUUCGCAGGGCACAUAUAUAACAACUAUGACAUUAUUAUUUUUAGAUUAAUGUAGAAAUCAAUGGCAUUAAGCCAAAUUUCUGCACAAAAGAACUGAGAUCACCAACGCUUCUUCGUAGAAGAGUGCUAAUUUUUAACCGCCGUGCAUUUCCCAGCAUGCUAUGUUAGGAGACCAUACGUAAUUAAGUUUAUGUCUUGCAGCUGAUAAAUUUAUGCCAUUGCUAAAUAAUUUUUUAUCAAUUUGUGAAAUUGUGAAACAAAUAUUAUAUAGUCUUUCAUAAGAUGGCAAAACAGAACCAAGGGCCAGCUUUGUAAAGGCAAAAGAAGAUCAAUGAUGAAUAAGUGUUAAAUGUUCCAAAGUGUUCUGUUUGUUUCCAUGGAGAUCACUGCUAACUUGGCGCUUGGGCCUCAAAAUAGUACUUGUUUUAUCAUUAAUAGAUAUGAUCUUAUAUGUAAUUACAAACAUUAAAGUGAAGCCUCUAUGUAGAAUUUUGUUUUGCAUCAUUUUUCUAUAAAAAAUUAAAAUGGGCCUAUGAGCAAAUUAUAUUUACACGUUGCAGCAUAUAUUAAAAUAUGUUACCUUUCCGUCUGUUCAUUUUAAAAUUUACUUUUUAAAAAAUGAAAGUUAAGCUGCUUGUGACACGGUCUCUGUAUACACAUCUAGAUGUUUAUAUGUUAGUAUAGAAUAUUAUUUAAUGGUGAAGCAGAAAACCCCCACUUUAUUAAGUUAAAAAAAAUUGUUUUGUAUUUCUAGAUUGAAGGUUCUCUCUUACAUCAAUGCAAUUAUUCAGGCGCAGAGAGAUAAGAUUUUCAGCCACCAAUAAAAAAAACCUGAAAAAUCAAUAUUCCAUAAACAUUAAACAGAGAUUUUCACUAAUAAAGACCAUCUCACACCAACCUAGGGAAAACUUCAACAUGUGAAUAAAAAAGGCUAGCAGGCAACGCCGAUCCCAUGAGUUUGUGAGUUGUGCUGAUGGUGCCUUUUUCAUAUGUUAUUCUCUAUCUUACAUCAGCAUGUAAUUUUUUGCAUGUAGAGUUUGCUUGGUUUUCAAUCAUUUUUUUCAACAGCUAGGGUUGGACUAGGGGCUAUGAUAAGUUUAGAGAUAAGAGUUUGGUAGGAUUUAUGGGAGUCUAAUAUUCAAAGACUAGGGUUUGGAUAAGUGUGUAGUGUCCAUAAGGUACAUGGUAUAGUUGUUAGGGCUAGACUAGGAUGUAUCUAAUUCUGGGAUAGAGAUUAAAUAGCUAUGGUUAGAGACUACAAUUUAGGCAGUAGUAAUGGAAUUUGGACUUCAAGGCCUAUUCACCUCCUAUCAAUGUUGUUGUUGUUUGUCUUUUACUUAUAAUUAAACAUCUCCAUUGCGUAACUGUAACAUGCUGUGGAAACUGUUGGCAUCACAUAAAUGCUAAUAAUGACAAUAAGUAGAUUUGUGGCCAAACCACUUUAAGUCAGGGUGACCCAAUAGGUUGAUUCCCAGAUGGUUUAAAACUGCAACUUCCAUGAUGUUUUGUGAUUUUAAAAGCUUUCUAAAGGCAUGUAAAGCAUCAUGGGAUUUGUAGUUCUACAACAUCUAGGGAUCUACCUUUUGGGCACCCCUGCUUUAAGUCCUACAAGUUGCGAAGUAAGGCCGUCAUUGAUCGGAUUUGUUGUUCCAGUGCAUCUAAAAGAUACUCAAUCGGAUCAAGAUCUGGGGAAUUUGGAGGCAAGACUUUGUCAUGUUCCUCAAACCAUUCCUGAACAAUUGUUGCAGUGUGGCAGGGCACAUCCUGCUGAAAGAAGCCACUGCCAUCAGGGAACACCAUUGCCAUGAAGGGGUGUACGUAGUCUGCAACAAUCUCUAGGCAGAUGGUAUGUGUCAAAAUAACAUCCACAUGAAUGCCAGAACCCAAGGUUUCCAAGCAGAACAUUGCCCAGAGCAUAACACUGCCUCUGUCGGCUUGGUUUCUUCCCAUAGUGAAUCCUGCUGCCAAGUAAACUACACACAUGCACCCAGUCCAUCCACCUGAUCUAAAAGAAAACAUGAUUCAUCAGACCAGGUAAUCUUUUUCAACUGCUCCAUGGUCCAGUUCUGACACUCAUGUCCCCAUUGAAGACACUUUCAGCAGUGGAUAGGGGCCAUCAUGAGCACUCUGACUGGUAUGUGGCUCCUCAGCAAACGAUGCACUGUGUUCUGAUACAUUUCUAGCAUGGCCAGCAUUAUGUUUUUCAGUAAUUUGAGCUAUAUUAGCUCUUCUUUGUGAUUGAUUCAAGUGGGCUAGCCUUUGUUCCUCACGUGCAUCAAUGAGCCUUGGGCACCCACGAGCCUGUUGCUGGUGCACUGGUUUUCCUUCCUUGCAUCACUUUUGUUAGAUACUUACAACUGCAUACUGGGAACACCCCACAAGAAACAAGUAAUUAAUAGAGGGAUAAAUAGGAUGAACAGUAUAAUAAAAUGGAUAAAAAUGAUAUGUUUAUUAAAUGUAUCAUAAAAAAUGUAUGCAUUUAUAUUGCUGUUCCUCUCUUUUCUCCUCUAUUACUCACUGGAUCUGUGAAUAAUAUCAAUAAUUGCUGCCUGUCCAUUAGGCAUCAAUCAGCUUUUUUCCAAUUAAUCUUUUUUUUUUUUUUUUUUGGUACAAUCGAAGGAAUUCGGAAUCACAAAUUAAAAUUAACGUGCCCAUCCAAUGCGUGAGUCAUUUGUUUCAUGAUUAGCCUAUAAGGUGGUUUGGAGAUUGAGAAUUUGCGCGACCAACCGAUUGGACCAAAUUUGGAGGAAUUGCAGUUUGCAAUGAAACAAAUCUUCAAGUCUAACAAUAAUACUAAUGAUAAUGGCGAUAGACUGGGAUUUAUGGAUGUUAGGGCUAGAAAUUUUUGUUAGGCUACAGGAUAUGGGUUUGAAAAUUAGGUUUAUAUGCUAUACACAUGAUACAGUUAAUAAUGUUCAAUUUAAUUAAAAUAAUAGUUCCUUUGGUAUAGUUUGGGAAUUUUGCAAGCCUUUCUUAGGUAUCAUUUCUGAUAUUUUACAUUUCUCUCAUAUUUUUAGAACAUGGCUUCUCAUCAAAUGGCUUGGAUAGGAAAGUACCCAAACACCAGGAAAUAUUACUGCCGUUAUAGAGAAAAAUAAAUAAAUACCACAGGGCACCGCAGGAGACCAAUUAUUUAACAAUAAACCUAGGUUCCUACUAUAUUGAAUGCUUUUCUCACAGAUUAGGGAGGAAGUUUCAGAACAAUUGGCUUGCUGCUGCCUGAAGUGAUCUUCUGCCAUUCCGGACAUUUUUGGACGUUAGAGGAAUUAGAGGAAAAACAUAUGUUUUUUGGAUAACAG